Molecule: long non-coding RNA, 67956 nt
Filed under: Linum usitatissimum (flax)
Lineage: Eukaryota; Viridiplantae; Streptophyta; Magnoliopsida; Malpighiales; Linaceae
Description: long non-coding RNA (LUSI_LNC003063)
Source: RNAcentral
AAAAAAGUUGGUAGGUACGUAUUGUAUAUAAAAUAGGUAGCAAAGGCAAACAACAACAUAAACAAAAAUUAGCAUACUCUCGACUGAAGAAGAAGAAGAUGACCAGGCCUGUUACAUUUUUGUGCGUUGUGGUGUUUCUCACUCUGAUGGUCUUCACCUCCGUAGCCGUAGGUAAGUAGUACUUGGUGAUCAUUUAAUUUCUUCUUCUUUUUUCUUGGUGGCCGUGUGUACGUAGUUAAUUUUUUAAUAUAUUAAUUAGUUUGUAAACUAAUAUAUAUCUUGUUCUGAAUAAUAAUAAUAAAAGAUGGAGAGAAGAUGAUGAAGGACGGAGAAACAGAUGGUGUGUGUUUUGACCAAUGGGGUUGCAAACACGGACGGGGACGGUGCAAAGAUGAAUGCAAAGCUAAGUACCCGGACGGGGAAGGAACUUGUGACCCAUCACUCACUCCUGGCUUUCCUGUCUCCUGCAAUUGCAAACACAAAUGUUAAAAGAGAUUGAGGGCUGAGGAAGAGCCAUACAUGUCAUCAUCAUACCAUCAAUAUUAUUAAUAACAUUUUAAAGUUUUUUUUUAUGUUGUAGACAAAUGGUACUUUUGUUAUGCCCCCACCCCAAUCUCCUCUAUUACAAACUAUUCAAGGGGAAGGAUGCAUUAUGGGCCCGAUGACUAAACCCACAAAUCCCUUUUGUCAAUUGAUCAAGUUAUAUUUUGUUCAGACUGAACAUAUUGCACAGUAAUCGUCUUGUGAGUGAUCUGUUUAUGGAUUGCAUUACGUCUCACCCCUAAUUAAUGACGAGAUUUUUCAUUAUACAUUACUUGGCUAUAAGUCCUAGUCAAUGUAGCAUUAUUAUCACACAAGAUAGUAAUCAGUGAGAUAGGUCUCGGCCAUAAUGGAAUCUCAUAGACAAAGUUUCUUAGUCAUUCUAUCUCCUUACCUGCAGCCUCCAAUGCUAUGGAUUUAGAUUCCAUAGUUGAUAUAGUGAUGCAAGUUUGCUUCUCGAAAACCCACAAAAUUGCUCCUUCCCGCAUAAGAAUACUCAUCCAGUAGUAGAGGUGUGAUCCUCUAUAUUGGAUAUCAAACUAGCAUAUGAGUACCCUUCUAUAACUGAUGGGUACCCUGUAUACGUUAAAACAAAAUCCAAGGUUCUUUUAAGGUAACCAAACACUCGCCUAAUCGCAUUGCUAGUGAUGAGUACUGGGAUUGCUUGUAUACCUACUCAGUUUUCCAACCGCAUAAGCAAUGUCAGGCUUCGUGCUUGUCAUUACAUACAUCAAGCAACCUUGCAUCUGUUAGUAUUCGAGUUGAGAAAUAGCCAUCCGUGUGUUGGGCACCAAUCUCACACUAGGGUGAAACAGACUUCUCAACUCAAGACAUCCCUUACUAUUAAACUUCGUAAGCAUCUUCUCAAUGCAGUGUCAUUGAUUCAACGAAAUUUCCUUCCCGUUUUGAUUGAUUCUAAUCCCAAUAAUCACAUCUGCCUCCCCCAUAUCUUUCAUGGGAAAAUUUGAUGAUAAAAACUCCUUAGUGUUGCUAACUUUCUCUUGAUCAAUACCAAAUAUAAGCAUGUCAUCCACAUACAAACAAAUGAUGACUCCUUUACCUAAUUCAUUAAAUUUUGUACACACUUGUCUGCCUAAUUUAAACGGAAUUCACUAAAUAAGAAAACAUCAUCAAACUUCUGAUGCUACUUUUUUGGUGCUUGUUUAAGCCCAUAUAAACAUUUAAAACCUUAUGCUCAUUCCUAGACAUAACAAAACCUUACAGUCAUUUCAUGUGCACCUUCUCAUUGGAUCUCCAUUCAAGAAUGUUUUCUUGACAUCCAUUUGAUAUAUCACUAGGUCAUGAAUAGAUGCAAGAGCUAUUAACAACCUAAUAGUCAAGAUUCGAGCCACCGGAGCAUAGGUAUCAAAGUAAUCAAACCCAUGGCGUUGUUUAAAACCAUGAAUCACUAACCGAGCUUUAAAAUUAUCGAUUGAACCAUUCACUUUAAUCUUCUUCUUGAAGAUCCACUUGCUUCCUCAUGGGUUACAUCCCAAUGGGGAAUCUGUCAAUAUCCAAGUUUUAUUUCCCAAGAUAGAUUCCUUCUCUUCAUCAACUGCUUCUUUUCAAAAGGCAGCAUCUUGCGACCUCGUAGCCUCUUCAAACGUAAUAGGGUCAUCAUCAAUAUUGUAGCAGUACAAGUAUUGAGAUCAUAGUUCCAUUUUGGAUCCUUAAAUCAGAUACAUGAUGACACUCGAUUUGCCGUGUUCAUCAUCCUCAUUUAAGCAACAUUUCAUGCAUAAUUGUAUUGCCUUAGGUAGAAGUUUAUAAUGUUUUAUGCAUCUUAAGCUUUUUAUCUCGAUUUAGUGUCUCGCACCCGGUUAGGGUCCAUUUGAUGUCGUUUUGGAGUGUUUUUCAUAGAUUUCAGGUAGCCUGGAUCUCGACUUGGUCGAAAAACGUCAAAGUUUCGUAUUUUGGAAAGUCCGAUUGAAGCAAGGCCAUAGGCUAUCGAAAGCUCGUUCAAUUUACUACAACUUUUAUUAGGGAGUUAUGUCAAGAUUUCCGCUAUGGAUCUGUCAAAUUUGCCGCUUUGUGCAUAGCGGCAAGAUUGAGACAUCCAUAGCGGCAAAGUAGACAAUCCAUUCUGAAAAUUUCGUCAAUCUUUGCCCUAUACUCAGUAUUUUGGGUAUAAGUCCUUGCUCCGAAGUCUGAUUGAUGCAAGCCUUGCGGCAUUGAAAAUCUUGUUCGAAUGCCUAUUAACUUUGGCUAGAACUAUCGAGAUUUUGGGCUAAAACCGUCUACAGCAGAUCAGCGUAAUUGUCAAAGUCAAACUUGUUGCCCAACAAGGAACUUUUUUCCUAUUUAAAGACGGGUCUUUCAUUCUUUGGGGAGGAGACCUUUUUGGACGAAAAUCAGAGGAUAUUUCAGAGACUUCAGAGCAAUCAGAAGGCGCGGACUUCAAAGAGCUUAGAUCAUAAGAGAUAAUCAAGAUCGGCGAAUCAAGUUCUUCGGCGGGAACAGGGAAAAUAGGUUUUUCAGAUUUCUUCUUGUAAACCUAAUUUCAAUGUCUUCCUUCUUUGAUUUUUAGUUUUUCUUCAUGAUUAUGAGUAGCUAAACUCCCUGUUCAUAGAUUAGAUGAACCCUAGGUAAUUGCUUAUGAACGGAUGAUUGUUCGACUUUGAUGAUUUAUGCGAGUUGGAUGGAUUUUGGUUUAUGUUUAAUUUUUUUUCCGUUCUUAUUCUUGCUAUGCCGUCUUGAAUAGAACUUUGUUAGAUUUGUUUUCAUCCCAAAACAGCUUGCAUAUCUUGAAUACUAAAAUUAAUCAACUAGCUUAGGCGUUAACCAUCAUCUAGGAGUGAGUAAACUAGUCCAUCGUGUGAGCAGUUUUCAUUUAUUUUGCUGCCUAGUGGAUUUCAGAUCUUUGUCUCGAAAGGGCGGAUUGGGAUACUAGAUAGCUAGCAGAUUAGCAUACCUGAAAGGGCGUGAUUUGAUUAAAGAAGAACUGCGAUGAUGAAUUAAAUAUGUCUUGUCUGUUUAAAUCAUGGAAUUUGUCUGUCAUUGGUGAAUUUCGAUAGCCUAGGAGGAGUAAAAGUCUAAGCAAUUUUAUCCAGUUUGGUUCAACCCCCAUAGCGUGUAGUCUUUCAACCUUUAAGUUUAUAGAAAUUUCAUUUUUCUUUUUGAUUGAUUGAUUCUCGUGGCACCUAAACCACAAAUCCGUUUAAUCGAUUAGCACUUUACAUAACUUUGAGUAGUCACGACAUUGAGACCUUAGGGAAAUUUGACUCAGUUAAUUCCUUAACUGGAUUAUUUUGAUAACGAGUAAAAUCCAAUCAUCAAUACACAUUCAAUAUGAUAACAUUGAAUUUACCAUCUCCUUCAGGGUAUGAUUCUUCCUCUCAACCACACCAUUCUGUUGUGCAGUGUAUGGAGCAGUGGUUUCAUGAAUGAUUCCCACACUUUAGGCCUCAUAUUGUCUAUCUAGAUGGUAAUUCGAUUACAUGUAUGCCCUGUCACGUCAAGUUGGAGAGUACGUGCUACUUUAACACAUCAAAGUAACUCUAAAGAAAGAAUCAAUAGACUUUGAUCAUAGACCUAAACUACUAUCAAAUCUAGAAUCACAUGAAAGUUUUCUAAGCAUGACAAGUAACUGAUUCAAAGAUGGUUCCAACAAGCUUAAUUUUAGGACUCAACAUGUAAAGAAAACGACCCAAAAGACUAUUGACAUGCAUCCUAUGUAAAACCCACCCCAUAUAUAGUUUGGGCAAUGUCCUCACUGAACGAAAUGAAAAAGUUGCAUAGGGCAUGAUCCAUGAAGUCCAAGCUCAUCGGCGGCAUUAACUCCUGAAAAAUAUUCAAACACACAAAACUAAAAAUAAAAGCCAAAAGGGGCUAGGACAAGUGUCCAAGUCCCACACAUAAUAAAAUGGAUUUUAGAUCCAAAAAUAAAGAAAGAAAAAGUCAUAAGGUGAAUGAUGAAAUCUAAAAUAUGUAGACCGACUCGAAAAUUGAAUAAUUAAAAUGACUCUAGGCAUGGGAUGGCUCCCAAGAAGUGCCCUUUCUUUAAUGUCUUUGAGCUAGACGAUACUUGGAUGGUUAUGCUAUCCAACUAAGUACCUCCUUGAAUGCCAUCGGGUUCUUUAUGGUAAAAAGUUGAGUGAUGAGAAGAAGUUGAAGCAGAUGAUGGAAUAACCAGAGAAAUUUGCUCGAAAAUUGUUUGUCACCCCAGAAUGACCUUCUCAUUUUGAAUUUAUAUGUUUGAGGAGGGAAGAGGUAGAAAUGUGUUUCACUAUAAAUAACAUCAAUCUUCUCGAAGUUACUUAUGCCACUUGAAAGGUUUUCUGAGUUGAGCAUGAGUGGUUCCUCUUUUGUGAUCUCUUCAAAUUUGAAGUGUAACUGCUUGUUAUCAGUUUUUUGGCACAAGAACUUCAUGACUGAUUAGGAGUUUUGAAGAACCUCUGUUUUCUUUGGUAGAACCAAAAUAAUCUAAAUGAUGUCCUCGUUGGCGGAGCACUUUAUGUCGUUUGUCGCCUAUUAUGAACAUGAGCUUCAUCCUUCUACAAUGCAUUGAUGAGGUAUUCAUUGUCAUCUUCUUUAGAUUCUUCUAGUUCUUUAUCACAAGCAGCUUGAAUUUCCUCAAUGACUUGUUUCCACAUAUCUUCAUCGUCAUCCCAAAAUCUUGAAGUAGAUCCAUCCCAUUCGCAUUUUCCAAGUUCACCAUCACAUAUAACGUGAACUUCUGUAAUGAUUGGUGUAUCUUCUAGAUCUUCACCUUCAUCCUCCAAGAAGUAAAAAGGGAAAUCAUUCCUAUCUCAUUGAGGCUUUUCUAGCUUUCAAUCAUGAUCGGCUACAUUAUCUUCAAGGAUGGGUUCAUCGUCUACCUAUAUAACCACCAUGCGUAUUGUAAUAGUGAGUACGUCAUGAAUUUCCUCAUCGUCGUCGAACUCAAAAUCCUUGUCAAGGGGGGUGUUGGUGGCUAGCUCCAUCCUUGAAAUAAUCUCCUCUCUAUCAUCCAUUCCCUUCAUCAUCUCUUCUUGAGCAGCAAGUAUAUCCUUACACUCCAACAUGCUUUUAACGGUCAUUUCUUGAAUAUACUACUUUAGUGAUGAUAGCUCUUCAUAACAUGGAGGAGGUUGAUAGUGAUAGUUAUAUGUAGGACUCCAUGUAGACUUCUGGUAGAUUGAAAUGGAACAAGGAUUCUCAUACCAAGAUAGUGAUGGUUGAUGCUCUUUGUGACUCUGCCGUUGGUUGUAUCCUCUGAAAUCUUGCAUCAUCACACUCAAGCAGAACUACCAAGGUGAAAUUGGCAAAAGAAAACAUUAAAAAGAGGCAAUAUACAAUGAGUGAAUUAUUAACACUAAACAAACUCCUUUCAAUCACAAUAAAGAUGUCCCCGCAAUAGUGCCAAUUUGAUGUACGGUUUUUACUCGUCUCAAAAUAAACCUAUUUGACAAACAAACUAGAGUUUAAUUUCCCAAGGGUCUUAAUGUGGUGUUUACUGAAAGUUAUGAAAAGUGCUAAUCGAUUAAAUAGGUUUUGUGGUGUAGGUUCAACGAAUUUCUAAGACUAUCAAUUAUUCUAAUAAUGCAAAUGAUAUGGAAAAUAACACAAGAUUGCAUGAUAUAAGGUUUGAACCAAAUGGGAGAAAACGGCUUAGACUUUGAAUCCCUCUAGGCUAUCCAAAUUCACAAAUGACAGACAAAUUCAAUGAUUUAGGCAAAACAAGAUAGAUUCAGUUCAUUGUCGCAUUUCUUCUCUAAUCAAAUCUCGCCAUUUUGGGUCCACUAAUCUGGUACCUAUCUACUAUCCCAGUCCGCUCUUUCGAGACAAAGAUUUGAAUUCCGCUAGGCUACAAAAUAAACGAGAAUGGGUCACACGACGGACUAGUUUAUUCGUUCCUGAAUGAGGGUAAUGUAUAACCUAGUUGGUUAAUUUCGAUAUUCUAGAUAUGCAAGCUCUUUCGGGACGAAGAAAAAUCUAGCAAGGUUCUAUUCGAGACGGCCAAGCAAGAAUAAGAAUGAAAACAAAAUUAAACAUAAUCAAAAUCCACCCAACUUGCAUAAAUCGUUAAAGUCAAACAAUCAUCUAAUCAUAAUGAAUUACCUAAGAUUCAUCUAAUCUAAGCACGAGGAGUUUAGUUUCUCGUAACUUCAAAGAAACAAAAAAACACAUUGAAAUUAGGUUUACAAGAAGAAAUUUGAAAAACGUAAGUUUGCCGAGAACCAUCGAAGUUAUCGAUCCGUCAAUCUUGAUUAUGUUUUCCGAUUUAAGCUCCAUAAAGUUGAUGCCUUCCAAUCGCUCCAAAGUCUCUGAACUUCUCUCUAAUUUUCAUCCAAAAAUGUAUGUCUUUUGAAUGAGGGAGAAAAUGCCUUUAAGUAGGAACAAAAAUCCUUUUUGAUGUCAACCGUCACACUAUGGGCCUUAACUGGUAUGUUUCAGGCACAUGGUGUAAUAUGGUUUAGGCGCAUAGUGUAUCGAACGUCCAGAGUCUAGGUGCCCAAACUAUCACACAAUGUGCCUAAACUUAGGCGCAUAGUGUGACAAUUUUUGGUGCAUAUUGUGGCAAACUUCCUUAACAAAAGUUGCAGUAAAUUGGAUGAGCUUUCCAAUGCUGCGGGCCUUGCAUCAAUCAUACUUUGAGAUAGGAGAUAUGUCCAAAAUACAAACCCGCAACCUUUUCCAACCAAGUCAAGAUCCACACUCCUUGAAGAUGUCAAAAUGCUUCUCAUUUCUUGUCUUAGAUCACCCAUGCAUGUCGUAUCACUCCGAUUAAUGCCUCGAUGUACUCAUGUACUUGAAAUUAAGAAAUAACACUCCAAAGCGACAUCAAAUGGACCCCAACUCUCUUUGGUGAUCGCCUACCCUUAUGUUAGGGGUUUUUUUAUUAAUUAGGUCUUGUAGGGUGAAUUGUGUUUGCCAAAUGAAAUCUUAAGACGUUGUAAUGUUGAUGAGGAUGCUUAUCUAGCAUGCCAUGAACUUAGGUGCUUUUGGUGCCUCAUUUUUCCUAUUUCGAUCUAUAUCUACCUUGAUUUAGCUAAAGCAUUAUGAAGUGGUGUUGUGGUAGUCACCUUUCUAUCUUUUGGACUUCAGUUUUUUAUCCAGGACUUGUGGUUAUAUUUUAGUUUUCUUUCCUGUGUCUCAUUGUUGAACUUAUGUGGGUCUGUGUUUUUAUUUUUGUUUGUUUGGAUUGAUGUAACGGAUUGGCAGUAGCUUUUCUUCCUUUUCCUCUUUUGUGUCUCUUUGGCUAGUGAACUCUAUUCAUACCUAGAGGAAGUCUCGAUCUCACUUGACGUUCUAAUAGAGCCUUGGUCCUUGUUCAAGCUCUACAUGUGCUCACUAUCACAAUCUCCACGUUAGUACCAUAUUUUCUGGUCGUAUCUCACUUGAUUGUUUAAGUGUGGGGGGAUUAGGGCGCUUCUAAAUUUUGGGGUACUUAACAUGUGAUCAUUUGUGCUUAAUUAUUGUUCUUACCUUUUAAAAAUCCUUUUCGAGCUUACUUUGUAGAUUUCUUUGGAUGCAUGAUUAGUGUUCUCAUUCUAUUUGUGGAUGUCUUGGAUGCUAAUAUCUCAAUUUCGAACCACCUGCCCUUUUACCUGAAGUUAGUUUACUAGAGACUUAUGUAUAUGAUACAUAUGGAUUGCCACCUUGUACUGUCUUGUUCUAUAUUCCAGUAGAGUGUAUGUUGUAUCUACCCCAAAUGGAUUUGUCUAGAUUGUUACAAAGCUAAAACAGGCGGGAGGAGUCCGAAUGAGGUUUCUAUUUAAAUAAUGUCGUGGGGGGGGGGGUUUAUUACAACUGAAACAUGUAGGGCGACCCUAGAGGUCUGCCGGCUUCCCAACCUUUUUUAGGCUUGGGGUGUGGGCCGGAUACUGGUUACUUCCGAGUCCGGCUAAAGUUGUGAUUAUUCUCCCAUUGAGAAAAAGCUGCUAUAAAAAAGCAAUAAAGAAAGAAAAGCAAAGAAAGAAAAGAUUCAACGUUUUAGCAUUCGAGCUUUGUUUCCAAUGAUAUGUAGUGCUAGAUAGUCAAGAAAACAACUCAAAAUUAUAUGGAGGUGCUAGCAUUAUUUGAGUGCUUUUAAAAAUUGAAGCACCUCCUCGCUCAUGACAGAAGAGAAAUGUCGGCCAGGACGAGUCAACGGUCUAUUACUUCCGCUGAAAAUUCGAAGCUGUAAGUGUUUGGGAGGAUAUGGAUACACUCUGAUGGUUAGGUGUUGAGUCAUUUGUAUCAUAUGCAUGAGUCUAUCUUAUACUAACCUUAGGGAUUCCUUGAGGACACCAUAGUAGAGUUAUUUUUAGAGUGUGAUUAGUAUAUUUGCUUAAGGACAAAGAAACAAUUAAGUGUGGCGCGAUUUGAUGAGCUUGAUUAUUAGCACAAUUAUUCCCACUUUAAACGACGUUUUUGGAUGCUUGGAUGUCUCACUUUGAUCGUAUUUGGUGUGUUUCAUGGGUAUUUUGUUACCCUUGGCUCCUUGGGGCCAUGUGAUUUUGUUUUCCAUGGUUUUUAUGUGUUUCUGGUGUCAUACGACAUCAAAGGAUGACCCAAAGCGCGUUUCAGAAUUUUCAAAAAUCAAUGAGAUGAACAUUGCUGACAGAGGGCUAACACGCGCCGUGUAAUAGCAACACACGCCGUGUUUUGAUAACACGCGCCGUGUGUUGGUAACACACGGGCAUGUGUUGUGCCACCCGGGAGUUUUGAAUUACAACACACCCCUGUUUGUUAUCAAUACACGUCGUGUAUUAGCAACACACGCCGUGUCUUGACAAUACAAAGCAUGUAUUGUCUUCAGCCUAAUCCUUUUCAGCCCAAUCCUUUUCAGAUUUGGAAGACAUCAUAGAAAUACUCAGGAGAUCCCUUUUGACGAAUUAUACCUUAUUCUAGACAGAUUUUUGAGAUUUUUAGAGAGAGAUACAGUUCCAAAGAUUGAUUGAAGCAAAAGAACAUCAACGAUUGGAGACGGAUCGAAGAUCGGCGACAAGAUGGAGAUUUCUCGACGAAAGAUGUUUUCUUCCCAGGUUAUUUUCCUUUCUUAUACCCUUCUUGUUUCCCAAACCAUGAGUAGCUAAACACUUCAUGGAUGAGAUGAAACUUUAGCUUAUCUUUUGUAUGGAUGAUGGGGUUUUAACCCUUUGAUUUGUUAUCGAGGUUAUUCAUACUUAUGAUGUGUUCUUGCUAAACCUAAUAUUUUUUAUUCAAUUUUGUUUGAUCGCCUUAAUUGAAUCAUCUUCAUUGAUUUGUGUGUCCCAGAGGAAUAUAAAUUAAUAAGUCGCUAAGGAAGAAUUCUAGAUUAUUCGUUAGUUCGAGAGAGGAGCGAAUCAUUUAGGCUUUUUGCAUCAUUUAUCAUUGUGGAAUUUCAUCGAACACCUUUAGUGCGUUUUGCUUGGGUGUAGAUCAGCUCAAGAGAGGAGUCUACGGUCGACCAGAAUAGAUCCUUAGAGGCAUGAGAGUGAUCUAACACUAUCAUACGAAAUCGCUAAGCCAUUAUAACAUGAAUAAUUGAGAUAGCAUAUCGUUCAUCCAUACAUUGCUAGCUUUAGUGGAUUCGAGGAAAGACUUCAAGGGACGAAAUGGAGAGAAAUAGUGAGAGAUUUAAGAGCAACUUCAAGGAAACUUCAAGGAGCUCGGAAUCGGUAAAGUAAUCAAGACGGCGAAUCGAGUUCUCGGGAAGAUCACGAAAUUAGGUUUUUCCUAAUUCUUUGUGUAAACCUAGAAUCAAUGUCUUCCUCCUAAAAUUUUUCCCUCGAGAUUAUGAGAAGCUAAACUUCUCUUGCUUAGAUUAGAUGAACCCUGGAUUAAUUCCUAUGAAUGAAUGAUUUGACGAUUUUUGUCGAUUUAUGCGAGUUGGAGGAAUUUCAGCAUACGUUUGAUUUUGUUUUCGAUUUGUUCAUGCCUGAUCAACUUGAAUGAAUUCUUGUUAGAUUUUUCUUCGACUCGUGAGAGCUUGCAUAUCUAGAACGCAGAAAUCAAACAACUAGGUUAGAUAUUAACCCUCAUUCGGGAGCGAAUAAACUAGUAUGUCGUGUGAGCAAUUCUUAUUCGAUUAAUUGCCUAGCGGGUUUCAAAUCUUUGUCUCAAAAGAGGAAACUAGGAUACUGGAUAGGUAGCAAAUUAGCGGACCCGAAAGGGCAUGAUUUGAUUAGAAAAUAAUUACGACAGUUUAGUGGAUUUAUCUUGUUUUUCUUAAAUUGUGAAAUUUGUCUGUCAUUUCUGAAUUUGAAUUUCCUAGGGAGAUUCGAAAUCUAAGCAGUUUCAUCCCUGAUUGUCAAAACCAUAUUCGUGCAAUCUUGCAACCUUUACUUUUAAAGCAAUUUUCAUUUUUCAUUUUAAUUGUUCGAAUGGUUCUCAUGGCACCUAAAGCACACUUGUUGUUUCUUAAAUUGAUACUUUUCACAACUUUGAGGAAAGAUACUUAAAGUGACCCUAAGGAGAUUCUACUUCGGUUAAUUUAUUAACCGGAUUAUUUUGAGGCGCGUAAAAAGCGUUUAUCAAUGUUUUUAGGUUUCAAGACUACUCGAUGCUCAAAUACCAUUCAUAAGAAGAGUUGGACAUAAUGGAAACCGACUAUGACAUUGAUUCUCCUCCAGGUAUUUGAAGGACUCCAAGAUAAGCUCUUGCAAUGGAUUACCACUACCAAUUCAUAAGUGAUCAAGUCAAUUGGUAGCAAACACAAGGUGUUUGAUGAAAUUCCUAGGUGCUUAGAAAGACUUAAAGAAACCACAAACACCAAGAAAUGGUUGCUAGUCACCAUAUGACACCCCAAACAUCUCAAUCACUCAAUUUUAUCACUACCUAAGUGAUUAACGAAAUGCGGUCUAAGUGUUCGAUGAAAUGUCACUAAGGAAAUCCUCACACUAAAGGUUGAAUUGGGGUGAGGUUGGGCCACACACACCUUGCUUUAAUCUUGGAUUAAAAAUCUAACUCAAUUCAAUCAUAAUUAAGCAAAAGAGAGAGUUCCCUUGACCUAAAUCAAGCCAUGACACAAGAUAGGUUGAAAACACCAUAAUCGAAGAAAUAUCCAUAACCAUAAUUAGCAUCUAACUUUAUCCAACCCUCAUCAUGAGGGAUCAUCUUCGCAAAAACAUCAUCUCUAGUCUAGCAACAACACAAACUAGCCUACAAUGGCAAAACUCAAAGGAGAAAGAGAGGUUACAAACACCAUUCUUGACAUCUAAGUAGAAGGCUUGAAGGUGAUGCUUCCUUGAUCCUCAAUCUUGACUCUAAGCUCCACCCAAUCCAAGCUAGCUUCAAGGACUUCAAUUUCUCCUCAAUCUACCCAUCUAGGGGCUUUAAAAUGGUGGGAGAAUAUGGGAAAUCAUAGGUGAGAUGAAUAAAUGGAUAUAGGUGAAGUUAUGAUGCCUCUCUCCUCAAUUUUGACCUUAAAACCCCUGUCUGCAGCCUCCACACACCGUGUGGCCUCAUUUCCAGCCCGAGAAUUUUGUCUUCGAUUGCUCGUAUCUCCCUUGUCCUCACCUCUGAUUGAGCUCCGUAUGAUCUCGUUUGAAUCAUCUCAUCGUCCUCUAUCCAUCGAAUACCUGCAAGCUCAAUGAAACAUUGAGAAAAAAAGUCUAACGGACCAAAAUAGUCCAUUCGAGAAAACAUAACACAAAACCCUUGUUUCUUCCAACCAAUCACAGAACGGAGUCAAAAGUCGGUCAAACUGAGUAAAAAAAUGAGUCUAGAUGGGGUCAAAAUGGCUACCAAUAAUCGUGCUAUCAAAUCCCCCCACACUUGAACAUUUCUUGUGCUCAAACAAAUAUACUCACACUCUCACAAAGAACUCGAAAUAUGGUGAACGGAAAGCAAAACAUAUGGUCUCACGUCGUACCAUGAUACCAAGUAGUAUUAGUCAAACACCAAACCAAAAACUUAACCAUAACACCAAGUCUUCUAGACUAGUGGAAGACAGACUACUAUAUAUGAUGCACAUGACUCAGUUUCUAACCAUCGGAGUGUGUCCAUAACCGCCCAAACACUUAUGCCACCUAGCUAACAGGGAAGUAAAAAACUGACGGCUCGUCCAGGCCGGGCUUUCUCUUCCGAACCUGAGGGGGAAGGUGCAUUGCAACAAGUUUUUCAUACAAAUCACAGCACUCAAGCAAUGCUAGCAUACUUCUCUAAUUUGCUUGCUUGACUAUACUACUAGCUAUAAUCUACUAUAUAAAACUUGCUUUCACUUGCUUUUCUAUGCUUUUCAUCUUCUUUUUUCUUUUCUUUCACUUUUCACUUUUUUACUUUUUUCCAUAUUGCUAUUUUUUCCAAACAGGGAUGGUCACACAACCCUGGCUAGACUCGGAGGUAAACUAGUCUCCAACUCACGCCCCAAGCCUCAUAAAUGUUGGGAAGAAGGUGGCCCUCGAGGGUCGCCAUAUGUGUUUAGGUUAUACCCAAACCCCAUGAUAUUUUAUUCUAGAAACCUCAUUCAGACUCAUUCCGCCUAUUUUACCUUCGUAUCAACUUAGGAAUAUUUGAUGGGGAUGGCUACAAACACACCCUAUUGCAAUCUAGAACAAGAAAUCGGAAGUGACUAAUCCAUGUGCAUCAUAUUUAGGGGUCCCUUAUACACUAGUUUCGAGUGACACGGCUGGUGGUUUACAAACGAGAUCUUAGCAUACAUGGCAUUCAUCGAAAAAACCAAAACCACUAAGCAUAAAUCCUUUCACCAUCAACCAUAAUUUUCAAGUUCAAGAGGGCAUUUCAAAAGCAAGAACAACUCAAAAUCAGCAUAAGCAAAAUACGCAACGCAGGAUCCCAUACCCAAAUAGUAUUAACAAAAUCCCCACCACACUUGCACAACACAUUGUCCUUAAUGUGAAAAGAGAUAAGAGGAAUAGGGGUACCAAACAGUGGUGAGGAUUGAAGCCGGAUGACGAUGAUGGAUCAGGAUCGAGCACCUGGAGUUUCACAAAAGACAAGGACAAAACAAAAGAAACAUAGAAACAAACACUAAUAAUGGUCAAGUCAAAAGAAAAGAAGAAACCCCAAGACCACCGAGGAACCUUCUCAACAAGAAUCCAAUCUACUAGGGCAAGGGUAUGCAAGAAUGUGCACAAGUAGAUAUGGGAGAGGCAAAAUGCAAAAGAUCGGUAAAACCAAUGAAGAAGAUAACUAGUUAUUCUCAACCAAGACUAACUUGCAAUCGUAAACACGAGAAUCCUAUAAUCUACAAAUGAGUAAGACAAGGGUGAGAAAAAGCUAUAGAACCAAACCAUCUUAACUCAUUCAGCAUCAGUUGCCACAAAGUAAUCAUCACAAAGGUGUACCAAGUCUAAUGAACAGGAAUGAGCAUAAAGAGUGUAUUCAAAGCAUCAAAUGAACAAAGUAUGCAUCAUUCAAGUGUUAUAAAUUUUUGAGCUCAAUGGACUAGUAGUAUUAGAAGUAACGAGCAUAAUAACAAUCAUCAAUCAAUUGGAUUUAUCUAAAGUACCUAUCACAGCCCUAAGCAUAACAUUCACAUUCAAGCCAGAAAGAUGCAAUUUCAAGUUCAUACAACAAGAAUUCAACAAUCCAUAUAAUUCUUGUUCAAUCAGCAUCACAUUAGCAAAGCUAGACAUUCAAAUUUGCACCAUCAUUCUAAACUAGCAAUUGCAAUGUUCAAAUUAGCACAAAACCAUCCAUUUGACCAAAUUUGAUCACAAUUCAAACUUUCCAAACACUCCAUCAAUCCAAACCGAAAAAUGAGCAUAAUCCACAGAGAAUUAGGCAAAAUCAUAAACAAAAAAGAGGUAGGAAAUCAAACGAGCUUUCCAACUCCGUUGACUUUGUGUUAAUCGGACACCCAAGCAAGUAGUUAUGCCCAAUGUUCCGAAUAGUGAUGUUUUUUCGUCCGAGAUUGAGCUCUGCUUGGUCUUGUUGGAAUCGUCUUGUCGUCCUCUAUCCAUCAUAUACCUGCAAGCUCAAUGUAACUUUGGAACCAAACCCUAGGAGUCCCAGUCGAACCACUAGUUCAACCGAAAGAUCCCAUUCAGGUUCAAAACUAGACCAAAACUCCACCCACACUACUAAAAAAAGCAUAAAAGCAACGAUCAUGAAACCGUUUAUUAAACACUUUUAAUACUGAUUGACACGGAGUCCGAAUCCUUGAAUGCAUACUGAAAACAAGACAAAUGGAGAUGCAACUACAGUAUGAAAAUACAUCAAACGAUACUACUGAUAUCAAAACUCCAACCAGCUCUCUCUCCACCAUCAGCUCCAGUACCUAUGACUGAACACACAGAUAUACCAAGGGAAACAAUAUCUAACGGGGUCAGUGAUAUGCACUGAGUGACUAAUCAAGGAAAGCGAUGAAAUGAAACUACACAGUGAUAAGUCUACACCUGCACUGAGCUUGACUGAAACUAUACUGAACUGUACUGGACUGUAGUGCCUGUACUGAGUUGUACUACCUGUACGGAACUAUACUACCUGUUCUGGGAUAAAAACAAGGAGUCUGUAUAAAUACUGAACUAAUAAUGUAACCAUGUGGUCCUGUAGGCAUCAUCCUAAUGUUCGCCACCCCUACCUAUGAGUAGACAACCUCAUGGUGGAUCAGACUAUGAAACCACCCUAUGAUAUCAUGAGAGCAUCUCAACGCUUACUCGUCACGUCUUCCUGAAACCUGAUUGUAACAUGGGGGAUCGCGCAAUCUAUGGGGUGGGUGACCAAAACAUAACAUGAGCUAGCCUAUCUUGUCCUGGUUCUUAAUCCUAAACAUGAACUGUGAAUCGAACAGUUCCUCGUUGUAAGCUUAUGCUCAAAUCAUAAAAAAUUGUCUGUGUACUAGAUCACACGCUACUGCACAGUAUGAAACACUUAACUACAUAACACAAGUACAUGUACAAUAGCUACACGCUACUGUACAGUCCUGAAAAUCCAAACAAGGAUUCCUGACAACUAAUUACAAUUCUUUCCAUAAAGCAGAAUAGUAAUCCUAACCCCUACCUCGGAAAUACCUUUCCCGAAGAGUCUGAUCCGAAGCUGCCUGCCCGAAGCUCGAUCUUCCCAUCAUGAUACAUCUGAUGAGUCUGGUCAAGGGUUGGAUCUUCCAAACCCUGGUUGUUAGGUUUUCUUACAAAAAACCAAAACUUUGAGAUUGAGAGAGAAAAGGAGGAUUGCUCACUUACCCAUGAAUCUCCUGGCCUCUCUAAUCUCCUACCUCUGUUCCUAGAAAAAUGGCCUCUGAUUCUUCCUCACCAUCGAUCUCUUUCUUCUUCUGGAGAGCGGCACCGCGUCUCUAAUUUCCUCUCUCUGAUUUUCUGAGUUUAUGAGUUUCUGUACCCGAUACUGAAUUAUAUAAUAACUCCACCACGCUUGUGGCGAACAUACCACCACGCUCGUGGUUGACUGGUACCCACACCCAUGACAUACUCAAGGUCACACCUGUGGCCUAUUGACUCCCAUACCAGUCGUCGACUAUUGUCCAUGAUCGUGAUUGGUUAGAUCAUCACGCCCGUAACUGACAACCGGUCACGUCGUGGUUGUCCAAUUACUAGCCGAACACGCAACUGGUUCAUCUCUAAAAACUUGAACCCAAGGUUAAAUCCAAAAUCGGGGUGUCACAGAAACAUGGGGAAUGUAAGUCGAAUGGACUGAAACAGUCUGUUCGAGAAAACACUUACUAUCUAAAUCAUGGUUCAAAGACUGACCUUUUGAAGUGGAAGCACGGGGUUAGAUCAAUCCAGGAUUUUGAUGCUGGUUGUUACCAUGAAUCUAACCAUUCCUGGUGGGACAGUCACGUUUGAAGUGACCAAAUUUCCUAGACAUCGAGCAAGUUAUUUUCGGCUUCUUCUUGGGUCUUCAUUUGGUAUUUUCUUGGGGCGCUUUUUCCCCUUCUGUCGAGCAGAUAUAUGGUUCACCUUCUUCUGUCAUAUCAACAUAUGAAGAAUCCUUCUGUUUCCCUCCUUCUUGCACUCGUAGAGAUUCUUGUAUUCGCAAGUGGCUUCCAAGUUUCAAACUUAAUUGUAGAAACCAAAUUUUGUCCGGGUUCUCGAAUCUUUUGUCAUUUUCGUAGCUGGUUUUGUCGAAUUUUUGACCUUUUAUUAAUUAGAAUACACACUUCUAAAUUUUUACCGAAUUGUUUAAAUUAUGAAUUAACGGUUAUAAGCAAAGAUGCUAUGUCGAACCUAGAUACUAAGCGUUGGUAGGAUUAACAGAUUGACAUGAUAUUUCGAACCUAAAAGUCAAGUUUUGUAAUUAGACCAGGUGAUAGGAGUUUCGAGCCCACUAUGUGUAUGAGAUUGGGUUACUUUGGGCCCGUUUCGAAUUUUAGAAUUUUAAUUACAAAUAAAUGGAUGAAAAUUAAAAAUAAAGUAUUAAUUUUACAAAAAAAAAUUAUGACCUAGACUAGUCAUCCCCCACAUGUCAACACCACACCCUACCACACCCCUCCCUUGCAUGGUCAUCAUCAUCUUCAUUCCUAAAAAUGGGACUCCUAACAACAACAAUAAAGAAAAACAUUCCUAGAGACCCCGAAAACAAAACUCAGUCAUUAUAAUCUCAAAUUCUCCAAUCCCUCUAUAUCCUCUACAGUUUCCCAAACUCUAAAAAUCUCUGAUCAAUCUCAAAGAGCCCUCUAUCAUUCCAACACCUCUUCCUUUUGUUCUUCCUUCACCAAUGCACUUCCCUCCACCUCUCUACCCUGCCAAAGAACCAAAGAAAAACAGCAACAAGUUAGUAGUAGAGUGAGCACAUCAUAAGCAUUUCGGAUUUCACGUUUAUGUCAGAAAUUCAUAUAGGUACUUGAGUUUUGAAACCUUGUGUCGAAAUUCAACUAUUUUUAUCGAUAUUUUUGUAUACUAGUUCCAUAGGUUUCCAUCAAAUCCAGUGACUUAUCUAUGUGUAUACUAACACGAACGCUAACUAUUGUUUAUGUUUUAUCAUUCAGUUGAUGCUUAUACUAACAUUUAAUACGCAUUAUAUUCCAACUAAUACUUAUAUGUAGCUCUUUAUCUACAUAGUACCAACAUUUCAUAAGUGUAUAUAUUAUCAUAUCUGCACCAUGUUUUCAUUUAUCCAACACUAGCAUAACAAAAGGAGAAAACGAGAGAAAGGGGUUAGAUUGUCAAAUAAAAUAUGAGCUUUUUCAAAGAAAGGAAGUUUCUUUAUUGAUCAGAACUAGGAUCUCAUCUUCAUAAAAAUAAUCCCAAGAUAGCAGAGAAUAAAAAUGGAAGAGGAGCAAAUAAAAUUUACCUGACGAAAAGAAAGGUGCUUCCUCUUGCAUGUCGUACAUCUAGGUCUAGCUAGCGGCGGUUUAACGUUGGGAAGGCCUCGUUCGGCCACGGAAAAUUAAAAUUGAUUAGAUCUAAGUUUAAAUCGAAGAAAACGGAGGGAAGAACGAUUUACCUGUUUUUCAGCUUAGAAAGAGUCAAAGAGAUGAUAGAAAAUUGAGAGACGGAGAAGGGAGGAGAGAUUCGGCCGAAAUAGAGGAGAGGUGAAAUUUCUGAGGAAACUUCACUUAAAUAUGGUAGGGUUUCAACCAACGAAAAGAAAAAUAUGCAUUGCUUUUUCAUUACUAAUAGAAACAGGCUUAUUGGUCAUUUCAUCCCUUGCUACAUGCCCGACUCUGCUGGGUCACUGGGCUAGCCGGUCGGGCCGAUCGAGUCUAGUACCCUUACCUUCUGGCGGGGUUUAGCCCCUUCAAUUUCUUUUGUUGGGCUUUCAUUUAACUUAUGGAUGAUUAAUUUAUGGGUUAAGUCUAAGCGUUUUGGGUCCUAAAAUUAAAAUCCUAAAAGGAGGCCAACACAUGUUUUUUGAUGAUAUUUUCAGUUCAUUUUAUCUAUUUUUGAAAUCGUAAUUACCCCAUUUUAAGUGAUUUACAUAACUAAGUUAAUAAAAUUAUAUUCUCAAAAACAAUUAAUAAAAUCAUAAAUAUAAAUAAUAAUUUUCUAAUCAAAUUUACUGAAUUAAUCUUUACACACUAUUCAAAGAACGCAACAAAAAUGAAAAUAAUUUUAUGAAACCAUCAUUAGUACAUGUUCAAUGAGAUUUGUAACGUUAGCCUUAACAAGAGUAAAGGCAUGCGAGGACUCGUCUUCCUCUUCAAAAUCUUUCCACAUCAUUCGAAUUAUGCAGACUUUGAUCCCAAAAUAUUAGGUAUGUAGGCUGCCGAGAAAGGCUCAAGUCCACCUAUAAAAAAAUCACUAUAGUAAAAAUAAUUGGUCCAACAAUGUAUUUUUCGCAAGAGCGAAAAUCCGCGAAAAACAUCAAAUAGUGGCGUGAGAUUUCUCAAGAGGGAAAGUACAUGAGUCCACAAUUUUCAAAAAAAUCCUUUUUAACUAAUAAAAUUAUAAAACACGUAAACUCCUUAAAUAAACUUAAAAUAAGAAUAGUAAUGUCGGCUUUAUGCUAUUAAAGUCACGUAAAAUUCUCGAAAAUAUAAAAUUCAUAAAAACUUUAAAAAUUUUUUAAAAUAAGUUAUCAUGUUAUUUCAAACCUUAAAACAAUUUAUCAAUUUAUUUCAACUUUAAAGCAAUUUAUCAUUUUAUUUUCAAUUUAUCAUUUUAUUUCCAACUUUAAGACAAUUUAUUAUUUUUUCCCAACUUUAAAAUAAUUUAUCAUUUAUUUUCAACUUUAAAAUAAGUUAUCAUGUUAUUUCAAACCUUAAAACAAUUUAUCAAUUUAUUUCAACUUUAAAGCAAUUUAUCAUUUUAUUUUCAAUUUAUCAUUUUAUUUCCAACUUUAAGACAAUUUAUUAUUUUUUCCCAACUUUAAAAUAAUUUAUCAUUUAUUUUCAACUUUAAAAUAAGUUAUCAUGUUAUUUCAAACCUUAAAACAAUUUAUCAAUUUAUUUCAACUUUAAAGCAAUUUAUCAUUUUAUUUUCAAUUUAUCAUUUUAUUUCCAACUUUAAAAUAACUUAUUCCCAAGUAUAAAAUAGUUUUAUCUACUCCCUGUUUUAAACUGUUGUAUAAGUAACGAAACUAACAGUUUUAGUCUUCGCAAGAGUGAGGACAAACAAACCACACACAAAAAAUUUAGCUCAUUUAAUAAAACACAUCAAACUUAUCGAUGUUUGUAGUACCAGUUUACCGGGCGCCGUGGGGGUGCUAAUCCUUCCCCACACGUAACCGUCCUCCUUACCCAGAUCUCUGAAUGCAGACCAUUCCCGGUUUACGUUCCAAAGUCUGAACCGGGCUCCAAGUGUGCAAUCCACUUUUAAGCGAUUGGUGGCGACUCCGAACCAUGUCUGAUCAUCGGAGGGUGGGCGGAAACGUUCACCAUAUUAAUAAAUGAUUUAAAGCUUUUUGUUAAUCAAAUAAUUGAAAUUUAAUGUAUUAUUUACUAACGGGUCAUUUGGGUAGGUGACUGUCUAUAGUUUAUUUAUGGUCGUAUCAAUUACCAAAAGAAUAAAAAUGGUAAUUUUGGUUAAAAUUCUCAAAUCUCCCUUCUCUCCUCCAAAAUCUCUACCUCUCAUAAAUGAUUUGAAAUCACUCACGAAAUUCUCUUCGGGCCCGCCCACAUGGUGAUUUUAAAUCUCCACAAAUCUCUUCUCUUUUUAGUGUCGAAACAGGUGAUUUGGGAUUAAAUCUCUUUUGAGAUCCAAUUACCCGUCCAAAUCACCUACCCAAACGACCCAUAAAUUUAUGAUUGUUACUUUUUAGUGUUAAUUAGUUACCAUAAUAUUUAAUAGAGAUAAUACACAUUUACAUCAUUGUACUAUACAAAAUUUACAUUCACACCUUUUAUAAUAUUUUAACCGAUCUAACCCUUGAAUUUGACAAAGUUUACAAAUGGCUUUUUCUGUUAAAUCUCCAUCACACGUCCGUAAAUAUACUGAUGUAUUUUAAACACAAAAAAAUAAUUAAUUGAGAAUCAAUAAAACCCAAAGUUUAGAAGACAAUGAAAUAACUUUAAUUGAGGAUCGGUAAAACUCCUCCGUUCACCCUCAUCUUUCCUUGCCCUUGUCUUCAUCAGUCUACCGCCCCCUAGAGUUGUUAAACGAGUGGGUUGGGCGGGCCACAGGUCGGGUUAGUUAGGUUACAGGUUCAUCGAGUUGUGGGUUCAUCGGGUCACGGGUUAGUCGGGUUGUGAGCUCGUCGGGUUACGGGCUCAUCGGGUUACAGGCUCAUCGGAUUACGGGUUCGUCGGGUCACGAGAUCGUCCGUCACCAGUUGGGCGGGGUUGUGGCUCGAGUUGCCUAUCGGCUGACAAUAAUUUCACAAAACAUAAUAAAUUUUUUUGUUUAUCUAGCAAAAAAUUACAUUUUAUGGGUUAUUGUUUAUACAUAAAUAUAUUUUUAUUUCCUUUUUUUCUAAUCAAAUUUUAAUAUUUAUAUAAUUUUUCAAUUACUAUCUAUUGAAUAAAUUAGUUACUUGAAGAUCACUUUGAUAGGCUUAAACUUUAAUAAAGGAAAUUACAAUUUUAAUGCAAGUUUUAGUGCAUAAGUUAUAUUGAAUACUGUCAUUCGAGUUAUUCGAGUUGGGAUAGUUGGAUCGCGGGUUAGUCGGGUUACGGGUUGCGGGUUAGUCGGGUAUGGGUUGCGGGUUAGUCGGGUCACGGGUUAAUCGGGUUUUGAGUUCAUCGAGUCGCGGGUUCAUCGAGUCACGGGUUGGGCGGGUUACGGAUUGUUGACUUUUUGGUUAAUCGGUCACCAAUAAUGCUGGGUUGAAUCGAGCAGAUGGAUUCAUCGGAUCAGAUUAAGAUUUUGCCAGCUCUGGGCACCCAUAUGUUGGAAAUCAGGACUACAAUGUUCAACGAUAUAUGCAAGCUGUCGAUAUGCAGAUAUGGAAGGAAAGUAUAGAAGGAAGUAAAUCGUACCUCUUGAGGAAUGCCUAACGGCUGGCAGAUCAAUUGACGAUUGUGCAAAUCAACUAUCAACGGUCAAAUGAGGAGCUACAUUCAAGUAUAAAUAAGAGAGCCCAAGAACUUUGGAGCUCACCGAUUCAAGCAUACAAGUGUUCAGCUUCUGAGAUUACUUUACAAUUGAUAUUGGUCUUUCGUCACUAUUACUUUGUGUGAAAAUUGAUAGGUAAUGAGUUAGAAGUAAGAGUGAGUGAGGGUACUCGAAGAAGUAAGUCGGUAAAGAUCGUCAAGGAGUGUCGACUUGUAUCGCAGUUUUUAUUGUUCAGUUCACUAGCGUGUCACUCUGAGUUUGGAGGUUUUGUCACAUUGAUGCGAUUUGAAGGUAUUGUCACUUCAUGUUUAUGAAAAUACGUUAUUUUAUUUAUGAUAAUAAUAUAACUUCUGAGAUAACUAUUUUCCAAACGUAAGCAUCAUUUUUAAUCCACGUUAAAUCAAUGUGUUCCUAAUUCUCGUUCAUAUAAUCAAUCGGUUCGUACGUUUCAGGAAACUUGGUAAACACAUUAGUUGGACUAAAUCUGUUGUUAGACUUAAGUUGUCUUUUGGGCCUUAAGCCUUAUACUAAUCUUGGCCACAAAAACAAGGUAAGAAACAAAUUCAUUUUGUUUCAUCUUCUUCUCAAUCCGACAGCCGAGAGGGCCAAGCUCUCUGUCUGUUCGCGAUCUCCACUUUCAAUUUCACUUUCAAGCUUAUGCUUGACCGAAAUUGCCGAGAUAGGAGUGUUUAAGUGAGUUUCAGCCUCCUCAUUGGCGUCCCCUUAUUAUCUGACGAAACUCGUCGGUCUCUGUUUUUGGGUUAUUGGAGGUUCAACAAUCUUACAGGAAUUGAUUACUGACUUCGUUCAAAAUUAUCUUACUGGUGAAUUUCUUGAAAAUUUGCAGCUUUACAAGACUUAUCCAAGCUUAACUUUGAUGAAAAUGUGCUUCUAGGAAAGUAAUGGACUUGAUUUUCUUAUUUACCUGGAAAAUCAGAUUUGGGUGAUGGGGGUAGGGGAAGAUCUAUUAGUCUGUUGACAGAGGAAGAGACAGAAUAGAAAAAUAUUGUCGAUCUGUUAAGUAAGGAAGAUAGAGAGCAGAUCUACAAAUCUAUUAAGCGAGAAAAGAGGUCAUGUAGUUGGCCGCUAGGGUUCGUCGGGGAGAGAGAGAGACAGAGAGAGUAAUCUGAGAGUAGGCAUCCAUCGAUUAUGGUCGGAAAUCAUUGUAGAUAAGAGAGAUUAUUUAGCCGUUGAAAGAGAGAUGUAGAUCGCAGAAGGGCGGAGGCGAUAAAAGAAAAGAACAAUUUUUAUUCCUUCCCAUUUGUAGCAUUUUUUUGUAGCGGUGGAAUUUUGGAUCUUGACUGAUGCUGGUCGAGGGAUAGGUUGAGAACCGGAAGGUGUCGAGAAAAAGAUGAAUGAAGCGUUUGAGAUGGACGAGGAAGAUGAAAUGAUUUUUUUUAUCAAAAGAUAAAGUUAAAUUUUAAAUUUGUAUUUAAAUUAAUUAAUUUACUUCGGUGAAAAUUGAGCUAUCGACGUUAAAAAUCCUCUAUAUUUAACGUUUUUUUUAAAUGUAUUAACGUUUUGUUCACGCACCCCUCCUCUCUUCAGAUUUCUAUAAAUCAAAUAAUUAGCGUAGAGUGAAAACCCACCGGUUAAUUUUCACAAGGGAAACUCUAGAAGUAAUCUUCUCUCGUGUCUCCGGUGGAUCCCAAAAUUGGCUGUCGAGUUUGUCCUGUCGUUGUCUUUGGAUUAGAAAUUUGCGAAUCCUCGCGUUUCCAGCUGCUUCAACCAUGGAAGACGAAGCAGAAAUCUACAACGGAGUCCAAGCUCAGUUCCCUCCUCAUCUUUUGCCGUACUCCUCCUCGUCGUUAGCGACGGGGCGGCGAGUGGCUUUUGUUCUACAAACCCAGGACUCAUCAUGUUUUCUUACUUAAUCUUCAAUCCAUUUUCACAAGAGAUUGUGAAGCUGUCGAUGUUCGAGCAGAGUUUUCAAGAGAAAGCACUUUGCUGCCAUUUUGAUCAUCUCCAGGUUAAUUUUUGAUUUGUGUACUCUACUUGAUUCAAAUUUUGGAUUUCGAUUUACUUAUUAGUGUUCUCUACUUCAUUGUAUUUCAACAGGUUACUACAAAGAAGCAUAUGCUUAUACAGUAGCAAGCUCAAUCAAUCCAUGGUGAUUUACUGGUUUAAGUCGGAGCAGAAGAAUUGAUGUAUCGAGUUUAGAAUCACAUAAAAAAUUGUAAUCGACAGAUUCAAUAUUGUGUACUAACACCCAACUUUCCCCAACAUGCAUCCUUUUAAACCACCAAUCUAGUAGCCACUCUGGUAUUCCCACCACCGACGUCGCCUCCUCAUCUUUCAUCGUACUCCUCGUCAUCGUUAGUGGCAGCAGCGCCGGAGGAAGUAGCGGGAAGACUAAGAUUUCUUCAUAUGCCCUGUUUAAUUUUCUUUUCGAUGAAUCUAGUAGAAGGAAGAGGGAUUUGGUGGAUAUUGUGUACUAAAACCCAACUUUUCCCAACAUGCAUCCUUUGAAACAUCAAUUUAGUAAUCACUUUGGUAUUUCCACCGUCGCCGCCUCCUCAUCUUCCUCCGUACUCCUCGUCGUCGUUAGUGGUAACGGCACGGGAGGAAGCAGCGAGAAGACUUGAAUUUCUUCAUCUGUCAUGUUUAGUUUAUUUUCCCGAUGAAUCUAGUAGAAGGAAGCGGAAUUUUAGUGGAUUUUGGGGAAGGAGAAGAGGAUUUUCAAGAGGGAGAUGAUUGAUUUGAGGAUACUGAUUGAUUGAAGAAGAAGUGAAUGAGGAUGUUGUUCAAGAGAAUGAAGAAGAAGACGAAGUAGAGGAGAAUCGGGUAAGUAUAUUUUGGUUUAACCCGGUUAGAAAUCGGAUAGUGGUUAGAGAAUCACACUCUGAGUUGCUUGAAUGAUGGCUGAGAAUCUUGCUUAUGUGACGUGCAUGCGUGGCGAAGGGGACAGAAAUAGACGAAAAAUGCUGACGGCGAGUUGCGAAAUUUGCGACUCAAACCAUUUUGAUGAAAAAUACGAAGUUAGGACAUUUUAAAAAAUCUUAAAUAUGGUAAUCACUUUUUCACGUUUGGUCACGACAAGAAUGGUCACAGGCAUUUAAUGGCAUUGUCUGUGACUAAGCAUUAUUUUAAUGCAGGCUUGCAUGCGAUUAUAUUUGAAUUUGUCUGCGACAAUAAUUAAUCUUGGUUGUAGUGUAUCCUUUGUUUUGGAUAGGCUAGGCAAAAUAUAUGGUUGAACUAGUGAUUACCUUUCAAAAAACAAUAUUUGGGUUUGGUAUUUUACCUUUCGUUUUGGGAUUCUUAAAAUCCCAAAAUUUUAGUCAUUCACACAGAGAACAAAGAAACUAGUUCCUUUCUUCCAACCCAAAUAUUCAUUCAAUAAACAGGUCUAUAAGGUGCAUUUUAUAGAUUUUUGACCGUCGGAUGAGAUAAUUUUGAUGUCAAAUUUCAUCUAAUAGCUAAAAAUGAAUAAAAUAAAAUGAUACGGAUUCUGGGGCAAAUUUGACAUAAAAUAUGAGGAAAUUUGUUUUGGGCGGGAAAAAUGGAGUGAGAGGGAAAUUAAAUUAUUUUUUAUUUUUAUUUUUUUAUUAUAUCAGAUUCUUUCUCUUUUCUAUUGUUCCCUAAUUUUAAUUAAAUGACUAUAAUUAUUUAUACAAUGCUUAAAACAUAAUUUGCACUUCACACAUGUUUCUUGUUUAAAAUUUUUGGAGUAUAUUGAGACCAAUUUUGAUAUAGCUUAUUAAUUUUAUUAUGAUGUUACAUUAUAUAACUAAUAAGUUUAUACAAAUUUCAUAAUUAUAUUGUAUAACUGUUAUAUAAUCAUUACAUGACCAUUAUGUCUCAUUAAUCUGUUCAUUUUUUACGAGUCUAUUAAUUUACUGUUAUGUUUUUUUAUUUGUAAAUUAUGAUAUUGUUAUGUCCACAUUAUGCUUAUGUCCACAAUAUGAGUGUUUUUUAAUCUCUAAAUGACACCCUAACUUUCGAAUUAAAUAAUGCUCUAGAUUGAGUAAAUUACGUUAUUAACGUUGAAGGAAUUGAAAAAAGCCCUAAGGGGCUGCCCGAACACUCGUUUCGGCCAGCACUAAGGCCGGUAGGCUACUUGUUUCGGCUGGGCCAAGGAGCCAGCCGGCCGGUCGUUUCGGCCGACACUAAAGCCAGCCCGAACGAUCGGCCGGAUGGCUCCUUGGGCCAACCGAUACAAGUGGCCGGCCGAGCCUUAGUGCCGACCGAAACGGGUGUUUGGUCGGGCCUUAGUGCUCGGGGAAACGGGUGUCCAGCUAGCACCUUAGUUUUUUUCCAGUUUUUCGAGGUUAAUAAUGUAAUUUACUCAAUCUAGGCCGGUCGGGACAUAAUGCUAGCCAACAAGGGUGUCCAACCGGGACCUAAUGCUGGCCGAAACAAGUGGCCGAUCGGCUCCCUAGGUUUUUCUUUAUUUCUGCGAGGUUGAUUGCGAGGUUAAUUGAACGAUAAUGGACCAUAAUCCAACAAAUUAACAUAAAAUUUUGUAGAAAUUGACAACAUAAUCCAUAAUCUGAGAACAUAAUAACAUAGUUUCAUAACAUAAUCCAACAAUGACACUCUAAAUACAAGAAUAACAUCUAUAGGGGUGGGGACCAUCCUAUCGUACUUCUUGCGUUCUGCCUUGUAUAGAUGAUUUUCCCACAUCUCUUUGGGCAUGCUAUCGGCCUACCACGUCCACAUCAAAGCAUUCACGGGGAUGGGUAAUACUUCGAUGUCGUCAUCUAAUGUGACCACAAUUCAUUACAUCAAGUCUCCCAGAGCCAACCAAACCGAUAGAGGAUGACAUUCUAAGGGGGGGGGGGGCUUAGUUGGAGUCUUGCUCGUUGUCAAAGGUGUACCCUUCGAAGGUGUUGAACGAGACGAGCUAGUUUUACUCUUGGGAGCAGUACACUACUUACUAGCAUACUCACGCCAAGAAGGAUUCCAGUCGUCUGUCUUUUUGGAACGAGGUCUGCCUUUAGGAGCAUCAUCAACCUUAGGCUCUUUCACACCCUUAUACUAGGGCUAGAAUUGAGACCAAACCAAUCUAGCUUUCGGUCAUGCAACAACUCGAAAUUUCAGAUUUUCGAAAAUCAGUUAAACUCGAAAAUUCUACCGAUUUCAAAAAAAUGAAAAAGCAAGCAAACAACAAGUUCAAGCACAAAAUAAGAAUCCACGGAAUGUAUAGACAAUAUUCCAUUCACAAUGUUCACAACAAUUCUACCCAAUCGGCCCAAAUUCUAAAAAAUAAAAAUUUCGACCUAAAAAAUCGAAAUUUGGGAGAAAUCGAAAUUGAAGGUUGGAGGCCGGAGGUGGGCUGUCCUGGAGUUGAGGAAGACCUUUGGAAAGUGUUGUGGAGGAGAGAGGGAGAGGCGGAGGAUGGUGGUUGAAGGAGAAGGAGGAGGUGGGUGGGUGGUGGUUGAGGAGAUGAGAAAAGGAAGAGGGAGGUCGUGCGGUGGGUUUUGAAGGAGGAGGAGAGAAAUAUUACGAGGAGGAAGAAUGGAAGGAGGAAGAAGAUAUAAGGAGGUGGGUUUCGCCAUUUACUAUUUUUCAAAUUUGUUAUGCACGGCGCACAUGCCAGUUUCCGUCGAUGUUAUUUUCACAAAUUGGCAAUGCACGACAUGCACUGGUGCAUGACGUGCAUGCCUUUUUUCUAUGAAGGCUAAUUCACAAAAUGGCUAUGCACAUCAUGCAAGCCAUUUUACUACGAAGGUAUUAAAACAAUCUAGCUAUGCGCUGCAUAUGCAUGCUAGAUUUAAAGCAACAUUUUACAUCAACCAUCAACAACACCCAUCAAACACAAACACUUAACAAUCGCAGCUCCCUAGCAUUCAAUACUCAUCUAGUACACGAUCAGAUGACUUAAGAGUUGACUCACAAGACUCACACAAAACAAACACUAAAUGACACAUAAAUCACAAUCUUCGGUCUUUUAUUCUUUAUGCUAACUAUGGAUACACAAGGGGUGCCUCCCAAGAGUGCUUCUUUAUCGUCUUUAUCUAGACGUCCUCUCACAAAUAAUUCAAAGUGAGAAACAAUCAACCUCGUCGAAAACACCUACGCUGUCGCUAGCUCGGUAGAGUUUCAAACGGUGACCGUUCACUUUGAAAGGUUCGGGGAGGAUGAUGAUGUUUCCUCGAUGGUCCCAUAAGGGAAAACCUUGGUGACGGUGAACGGACGACUCAAUCGGGACAUGAGCUUCCCAGGAAACAUCUUGAAGCGUGAGUUGAAGAGAAGGACGAUGUCGACUUCCUUGUGUUCUUUGAUUGUCCUCAAGCGGGAGUCAUGAUACUUCUUGGUCCACUCGUUGUAUAUCCUAGAGCUCUCAUGGGCAUGGUUCAUCUGCGACACUAGCAUCCAUGUUGAGAAACUUUAAAGCCCAGUAAGCUCGAUGCUCAAGUUCUACCGGUAGAUGGCAAGACAUGCCAAAGAAGAGUCUAUAGGGACUGGUCCCUAUAGGUGUCUUAUACGCGGUGCGAUAAGCCCAUAUAGCGUCAUUGAGCUUACUCGGCCAAUCUUUAUGCGAUUGGUCGACGGACUUUUGAAAAAAAUCGUUUAAGAUCUCGGUUUGUCUCCUCAGUCUGCCCACUAGUCUGCGAGUGAUAGGCGAUAGAAAACCAGUGUCAGACACCAAUGCGGUGGCACACCAGGUCGAAUUGACCCUGAAAGUGGGCCCCCCUAUCGCUAAUGAUAGCACGAGGUGUCCCAAACCGAGAAAAAGUUUGAUCAUGAAUUUUCCAACAUUUAUACCAUCAUUAGUGGGGAGAGCUAUGACGUUUGCCCACUUGAAAACACAAUCCACUACCACGAGGGUAUAUUUGAAGCCAUUAAACAGAGAAAAUGGUCCCAUGAAAUCUAUCCCCCAGACAUCAAAGAUCUCACAAACGAGGUUGAUAUUUUGCGAGAUCUCAUCGAGAUGAGAGAUGUUUCCAUAUCUUUGAGAUCUAUCACAAGACUUCACAAAAUCAAAGAUAUCUUUAGAAACAUUAGGCCAGAAGAAACCAGAAUCAAAUACCUUCCAGGUGGUGCAGUUAGCACCAAGAUGUCCUCCAGUUUGUCCUGUGUGGCACUGCUUAAGGAUAGCUGGAGUCUCACUAUAAGGUACACAUUGUCGAAUCAACUGAUCCACACCUAUGCGAAAUAGGUAUGGAUCAUCCCAGAAGUAGUUCUUCAUGUCAGUCAGAUUCUUCCAUCUUUCUUGAGGGGUGACGUCCUUUGGGAAGGACCCACUAGCGAGAUAAUUGGCAAUGUCAGCGAACCAUGGCCCUUCUACUUCUUGGGCAACGACUAGAUAGAGCUUCUCAUUCGUGAAGAAUUCUUGAAUGGGAAUCCCAUCCGACUUUUGUAAUUCUUCUUCCAUCAAGUGGGAGAGAUGAUCUGUAGCCACGUUCUCAGAACCCUUUUUAUCUUUGAUUUUAAGGUUGAACUCUUGCAACAGGAGUAUCCACCGUAGAAGUCGCUGCUUUGCAUCUUGUUUGCUCAUCAAAUAUCUUAUAGCCACAUGGUUAGUGAAAACCACGGUGUGAGAUAGCACCCAGUAGGAUAUGAACUUGUUAAUUGCAAACACCGUGGCUAACAACUCCUUCUCUAUGGUAGUGUAUUUAUUCUAGGCAUAAUUCAGUGAUGUCCUCGCAUUGCAGAUAGAGUGAAAACGGUUACCCUUCCAUUGUCCCAAUACAGCUCCCAAGGUGAAGUAACUGGCAUUGCACAUCAGCUGAAAUGGAAGCGACCAAUCUAGAGUUGUGAGGAUUGGCGAGCUUGUGAGCUUUUCCUUGAACAGCUCAAAAGAACGCUUGCAAUCUGUGGUGAAUGUGAAUGAAACAUCAUUAUGAAGGAGGAGGUGCCAACGUGUAGCGAUCUUGGAGAAAUCCUUGAUGAAUCGGUGGUAAAACCCCACAUGGCCUAGACGGCUUCAAACACCCUUGACUGUUGAAGGAAGUGGAAGAUUAGCUAUCGUCUCGAGCUUUGCUUUGUGAUCCCCAAAAUAUUAGUGAAGUUAUCUCGACAACACAAGUGUCGCAUGUGUCCAAGGUACCUAUUUUUAUGCUUAUACUCGAACUUAGCUACACGGUCUAGACUAAACAACUUGAGAAUGGUUUCCAAUUAUAUAUACUACUAAUUCGUUUAAAUACUAAUAAUUAAAACUUAGAAAUGGGUUUGAACAAAAGGAGAAGACAAGUUCUUGGAAGGGUUUGAUCAAACUUAACUUCCUAUCAGUAUAGGUUUCGAAUGUUAUAACUCCUCUUAUCACUUGUAUGAAUCGACGACACGAUUAUGCACGUGGAUUACCACUACUAGCUUCCCAAUCAAAGUUAGAAUCACCUCAAUUAGGGUAACUAGUAAUGAAGACCGAGAAGUUCUACAAAGUGAUAAGGUGCUCUCUUUGAAUUAAUAGAACUCACAAGCAAUUGGAAAUGGUGCUUACUUGAUCCAUCAACACCUAAGCUACUGAUAACCACACCCAACUUUCUCCAGUGGAUGCAAACCAGAGAGGCCCCAAUUACUCGAUGAAGAACCGUUAAAACCAAAAGAAACACAAAAGAUAGAAUUGAGCUAUUGGCUUGGUCCAUCGAAUAACUUUCUUCUAUGUUAGAUUUAUAAUCAUAUGAAUUUAAGGGUUUGAUCAAACAAAUGAAUCCAAAGAUUUGACCUAAUUCGAGUCGUAACACGAACAAGGUUGAAAACCAAACAAUCAGUCUUUUAUUGAAUUCCAAAUAUCGAACAAUCCUCGGCCCUAUACUUUUAGGGAGAGUAUAAUAGCUCAAUUCCUACAUCCCAACCAAUACACUCUAAAAAUUUUGCCACUAAUAACUCUAGAAGAAGAAAAAACAGAAAAAGACCUAACCACCAUCUUGUUGAAGCGAUAAUGAACCAUACUCGCUAUAAUCUUCACUUUUAGCCUUCUAGCUUCAAUCCUAGCUUCUAUCUUUAAUGGAAACUCCUUUCGAUUGUCAAUCGAACUUCUAUAGAUGAAGGUAUGAUGGUUUUUGCAGAGGAAACUCAGGAAAAAAUCGCUGGGAAUUGUUGAAGGUAUGACAGUUUAUAUGACAACUACUGGAACAGAAAGGUGCACGUUGUGCACCCCUUUUUCCUACGAGGCCAUCUUAAGUUUUAGGGCAUGCACGGUGUGCAAAACUUUUUGCCGUGAGCGUCUUCAAUUUAAGGGCAUGCACGGCGUGUGGCCCUUCUUCUUCACAAAUUAUUACAUCUUCCAUCUCUUCGAGCGCCAACCAUGCUCUAAUCCAUGUCUCUAAAGUACCCGCAGAUAACAUAUACUACAAAUAAACACAUCAAAUGGACUGAAACCUUUCCUUAAAUCGCUCCUUUUUAUAUGGAAACUGUUGGAACAGGGAGGGGCACGUCGUGCAUGUACGCAAGCUGUGCAUCCCUUUUUUCCUACAAGGCUAUUUCAAGUUUUAGGGCAUGCAUGGAUGUACAACAUGCAAACGUUCUUGCAGUGAGCUAUUUUAAAUUCAAGGGAUGCACGGUGUGCAUAGAUGCACGGAGUGUAGACCUUCUUCUUCAUUAAUUCUUGCAUCGCCAUUCCAUUCGAGCUCCAAUCGGGCUCUAAUCCGCAUCCUUAGCCUCGUAGCCAGACCACCUAUCUCUAAAGUACCCGUGGAUAACAAAUACUACAAAGAAACACAUCUAGGAUCGAUAAGGUCCAAGUGAAUGGGUCUGUGCAUACAAUGCCAAGACGUAAAACCACACGGAACUGAACCACAAAUGAGCUAGUAUUCGCUCAAAAAGCAUGUAGAUAGGGAGAGAUAAUCACUACAAAUCGAGCAUUAUAAUUAUGUUUUUCUUUGUCUUCUUUUCUCCUAGAAAUAUGAGUACCUAAAUCUUUAGAGUUUUUGGUUGGAAUGAAAUAAUUGAGCUAUGAUACUCUCCCCAAAAAUAUAGGGUCAGCGAUUGUUGGAUAUUUGGAAUUGAAUAAGACACUGCUUUGAUUGUUAUUUUUCAACCUUAUUCUUGUUACUUCUUGAAUUAUAUCAAAUCUAUGAAAUCCAUGUUAGUCUUCCAAAUAUCCCUAAAUUUACUCUUUGUUAGGUCAAAUCUAUGAAAUUCUUUGUUUCAAUUUCCCACAAAUUUCGGUUAGUCUUUCGAUUUUUAGGUCAAAAUUUUGACAUUUCAGAAUUUGAACCGAUUGGGUAGAAAUUAAGAUGAAAUUUGUGAAUGAUAUUGUCUAUCAAUGCCUUGGAUGCUUAUUGUGUGCUCGAACUUGUUUUUUGCUUGAUUUUUCUUUUGAUCAAAAUCGAUAGAAUUUUUUAGUUUAGCCGUUUUCAAAAAAUCUGAAAUUUCUUCUUGUUGUUGUUGUUCAGGGGUUUAAUAUGAUUGUUUGGUGUCUUGAUUAUGCCUCUGCCCUGCUUUUUUAUUAGACUCAUUUUCUUCAUUUGAAUUUGCAUAUUCGACAAAAUUUGUGGAACCCGAAAUUUUGCCAAUUUAUGUGAAUAUUAACUUGUGACCUGUUCUUGUUGUUAGUUUUGUGCCCCUUGUGAUUCAAUGCCAGAUAUAAUGCUUAUGAUUGUUGUUGGAUGAGAAUCCUGAUCUUGUCUGAAUUUUUGAUUUAAUUGAAAUCUUUGAAGCGUUGAGUUAGUUGAUUUUGUGAUUCUUGGAAGCAUUAGUUGUUCUCCCUAAUUUGAUAUUGAUCUCCUUCUUGCUAUGAUAGCUGGAAUAUGCCCCUCUAGAGGUUGAUUAGAAUUGAUUUGGAAAAAUUACUAGCUAAGAUUGAAGUUUGCAUAUUCUUGGAUGCUCAUUAUGAUUUGAUUGCUCUUCACUUGUGAUAGGAUGAUAUUUGUUCUUUCUUCGGAUUACCUAGUUUUUCGUGUAUAUUGGUUAAAGUUAUUCAUUAAGCUAGGUUGUGCCAUGACUUGUUGGUCGUUCUAUAUUUCGUGAGGACGCGAACAUUCUAAGAGUGGGGGAAAUUGAUUCUUGAUCGAUUGAUUGCUUUGUGAUAUUGUUGGUGUUAACAAAUAUGCAAUGUUGUUUCCAAAUAGUAUGUGUUGAUAGAUUUGCAGGAUGUCUAGAGAAAAGUCUUCCUCAAAGGACGGAGGGAAGAAGACUGGUACUGGAAAGAGGAUGCGACCAAACUCUACCCAAUAGCCUCCUUCUCUAGAGACUUCUCCACCACCAUCUCCACCUCCCGCAGCUGGUCCACGACGCAAUACAGCUUCACCAGACUUCCACUGCUGCACAGGGUCCACCAUCAGAGGCCGCUCCAGCUGCAGCUUCAGCAUUACCACCUCCAGACUUGGUUCAGAGGAUCUUCAGCUUUCUAGAGGAGAGCGAGUUUGCCCAUCGAUAUGGAGUGUAUCGGACUUUGAUAGUGGACCACAUGGGUGCAUCAAUCUGCAGAACUUCGUGGAUAAAGGAUGGGGAAAUCUUAUGAUACAGUACUGCGCCCAGGCAGGUAUCUGGGAGAUGGUACAUGUGGACAACUUGGAGCUCCCACAUUCGACCAGGGAGUUUUAAUCCACCUUGAAGAUCCCAAAUACACUUCUACUAGAGAGGCGGGCAGUAUCACAUUUUGACUUGGGGUCAGGGUUUCUCCUUCUUGGUAGAUCAGUUGGGAGAGCAUAUGGGUUUCUACACCCGCGAUCAUGUGGCCAACUUGGAGCUAAUGUCGUUGGCCACCAUAGAGAGGAACUCAACUCUAAACCCGAAGGUGUUCUGGUAGACUAUCUCGGUGCGAGGUAGCUAAUCCUAGUCAAAGAACCAAAUAAAUAUCCCAAGGUAUAACUUUAGAGUCUAUUUCUCAGGGGUCUACUUGGUCUUCACUACUCAGCCUUGGUUCGCUUGUCAGUCAUUGACAAUUUGAGAAGUUUUUACUAGACUAGAAUGAAGCGAAACAAGAAACUAAAAGAAACAGGAAAUCUAGGAUGCAAAUAGGUCACUCGAUGGCUACGGAUAAAACUAAGGUGAGAACGAUAAUGGGGAAAAGGCCUUGUUUGGGUUUUGGAUCAUCCUAAGAACUAUGAGAAAUUGUAUCACAGUAGAAUAGACGGGGCAUAGAUGAUAACACGUUUUGGGUCCUAUAGAUCGGGUCUAUCAACAACGAUCUAGAAUGACCUGCAACACUUACAAACAUCCGCUCAACAAACAACUCAAUAAUCAAUCUCACAAGUAAACCGAAAACAGGAAGGGUGAGAAAACUGCGAAUCGAGUGGAAAUGAGAUAAUCGAAGCAACAAGAUAGCAAAAAAUAUCAUCAAUCAUCAUGCAUCCACAAUCCUAUCACUACAUACUAGAAAAAUCCCAUAAAUCCAAAGGAAUCCACAAAACCCAAACAAGAAGAAAACCUAGCUCUCCAUGGAAGCUGCAAAAAAUGCUACAAACCAUCAUUCCAUCAAAGUAGAAGGUAGAUCCUCUGUUGGGCUUCGAUUCCUUGCUAUUCGCUUCAAAUCUUCAUUCCCAUAGUGUUCCUAGGCUCCCAAGUAGUUCCUCCUUCAUCAAUUUGUGUUUUAGUUCAUGUCCAUGGCUCUCCUCUCCCAAAAAUCUCGAAUUGGGGGAUAAAAUAAGGUUUCAACCAGACUUGGCAUCACGGCUAUGACAACAUGUGUCACGGCCUUUACAGGUUGUGUCACGGCCUUGUCUCUUCAACAGCAGCAACACCCGACUUCUUUUGGCCAUAACUUCUUCAUUUGGACUUUGAUUUUGCCUUGGAAAGUACCAUCAGUUUUGUAGUGGAACACUCUAUCCAACGGCUACUUGCACUCAAGGAAAACACUUCAAAAAAUGUGAAACUGACCGAGAUAGUCUACUCAAGAGGAAACGAGCACGAAAUGCAACUCUGAUGAAACUGGAUGCUUCUAAAAAUAAAAUAUCGCCAAACCGGAGCAAAAACUAGUCAAGAUGGGGUGAAAACGGCUGCCAAUAAUCAUUCUAUCGGUAGCCCCUUUUUUGCUCGUGCGACAAAGUUGAAGGUGAUUAAUAAGCCUCUGCUGAGGCUUUUUCACUUGCUGCUAAGGUGUGCCAUCACCGCUAGGAGACAGUCUAGCAAUAGGGGAGUAGUAAGUGCCACGGACUUGUGGCUCUUCUACUGCCUCAAGUAUGAUGUGAAAGUGCACCUUAGCGAUUUAAUAGUUAGGUUGUUCAAGUGUGUCAUCAAACUGAGAGUUUCGGGAGUUCUGUAUGGAGGGAGCUACAUCACAUGGCUGGUACGACAACUUGGGGUGUCAGGCACUUUUGGAGAGGACCCGCUGCUCCAACACGAGUACCCUAUCACUGUUCGGGUUCUUUGGGAGCAUGGAGUUCCCAAUUUACUAGCUGAUUUUGUUUUAGAGGGAUCAGAUUUACCAUAGCAGGAUGGGAAAGACUAACCUCCAGAGUUAGUUGAGACGCUUACAGCCUGUAUGGGCCAUUUGCAAGAUGACCAUGGGUGAUAUUCAGGACACUUAGAGAAGACUCCGACAUAUUUUCAGAGCUUGCAUAAAGAUAGUAGGGAGCGAGGUGCGAGGUCUUCACCAUGACUUCCAGCAGUACGCCACUAAAAGUAGAGACGCUUGGGCCUUGGGAAUCGAAGAGCUGGGCAAUUUUAGUAGACUCAAGCUCAGAACGGAUAAUGGAUACUGCAGCAGGGUGAGCAGAUCACCUACAUUCAUCAGCAUCACUGGUAAAGUGGCCACAUGUCCUAUUAUUAGGACAUCUACUUCACUGGAGCGUCGUAUCCCCCUUCGUAGCCAGCUUUUCCGGCAUCACCUCAAUGGUUAGAGUACGAUCCACACCAACAGUUCCCGGGUAUCCUUAUCCUCCGCCAGAUCAAUCAUAAUUCGGGACGUUUUAGUGACGCAGACUCGUCUGUUUUUUUCCUUCAUUUGAGACUUUAUGAUUAUUCUUUUUCUUGAUUUUUCUUGUUGGCCUGUAUAACAGAGGACAACACUUGUUACAUUUAUCACUAGUACGUUGUUUGUGUUAUGGUUGGCUGAUCUCAAAAUGGUUCUUCUAUCACAUCUCACCACCAAACUCCAUAUCAUCAACUCACUUCGGUAUCAACUUAUCUCUUCUCUUAUAUGACAUCUUUUGGGGUAAUGUUGUGGAUUUCUCGGAUGAAUUAGGGUGCUAGUUAAAUCACUUGUGCUUUAAUUGAACCCUUGUUGCUCAACAUUUGAAAUUCCCUCUUAAACUUGAAAACUUUGGAUGUCAUGGAUGCAUGUUUAGCGUAGUAUUUCUACAUGAGUGUGAAUAGGAUGCAUGAUAAAUCAUUUUGGGUCCGCCUCCCAUUUUUCUCAAAAUGAGUUUAGAAGAGAUUUAUGCACUUGGUUACUCGGUCUUGAUGUCUACCAACUUUGUGAACAAUUAAUUCCCCUAUCGAAUUGCUCUAGUUGUUUAAACUCAUGUGUGACUAGACGAUCUGAAUAAGGUGUAAAAGAGGCCAAUGUGCCCAAAUUGUCGUGGGAAUUCGGUUGCGUUUCAAUACACUUGGAGACCUUGAGUCUGCCGCCUGUAAGCUCAUCUCUUUAGGCUUCUCUUCUCACCUCUUCCUAGUUGUGGGUCGGCAUUUUUGGGUAAACUUGGUUUAUAUGGAUGAGAGCCUUAAUCCGAUCAGGGUUGUAACUACCCCCAUUUGGAAUGAUACCCCAAAACCUAUACAAAUUUUUUACAGAUGGGUUUGCAAGUAUUGUGUAAUUCAAUUAACCCAAAGUGUUAAGCAUAACAUCUAUAUAAAAACUAUAAAACAAGAGGGGAGUGCUCUGAAUUGGAUAUAUUUUUGAAGUAAGCACUUUCUCCCGUAGGACGGGAAAAAGACCCGGCCAGGACCAUCUAUUUUGAGCAUAAGUUAUAGGGGGAUGUCGUUUGUCUAUAGAUGUUGAGUGGUAAUAACUAUAUUUAUAAGUUUUUUCUUUAUUUGGAUUAGAAGACUUGGUAAAUUUAACUGUGUGGUUUGGUGAUAUAAAGUUUAUUCUUGGCACCAUGAAGUAGGCAUGAACUGUUAAGCAUGUUAUUCUGCUCUCAACAUGUUUCGAGUUUGUUUAGAGUGUGAAUAGUAAAGUUGCUUGAGGACAAGCAAUGUUCAAGUGUAGGGGGGAUUUGACGGUGCUCGGAUUUGUAGUGAUUUAUGAUGAACGGUUUUUACUCGUCCCAAAAUAAACCUAGUUAACGAAUUAACUAGAGUCGAAUCUCCCUAGGGUCUCUUUUAGUAUCUUACUCAAAGUUGAAAUUAAUAUUAAUCGAGGUAUCAAUGAAUAUUGUUUAGGUGUCACGAGGAUCAAACAGUCAAAAUGAGAAAUGAAAAUUGCUUUAAAGUAAACGGGGUUGCAAGACAACAUGAUACGAGGUUGUAGAGAAACAAAGAUGAAACUUCUUAGAUGUCGAAUCCCCCUUGGCAAUUCUAAUUCACAAAUCACGGACAAAUUCCUUGAUUUGAAUGAAACAAGAUAGAUGCAUUACACUAUCACAAUUAUUCUCUAAUUAAAUCACAGCCUUUUGGGCCGCUAAUUUGCUACCUAUCUAGUAUUCUAGUCCGCUCUUUCGAGACAAAGAUCUACAACCCGCUAGGUGAUUUACCGAUUUAGAAUUUCUCACACGAUAGAACAGUUCAUUUGCUCCCGAAUGGGGGUUAACGACUAACCUAGUUAUUUGAUUUCAGUGUUCUAGAUAUGCCAGCUCUCGCGAUACUAAGACAAAUCUAAUAGAGAUUCAUUCAAGUUGAUCAGGCAAGAACAAAUAAAAAACGAAAUCAAAUAUGCAAAGAAAUCGAUCCAGCUCGUAUAAAACAUCAAACAUAUCAAAUCAUUCAUUCAUAGGAAUUAAUCUAGGAUUCAUCUCAUCUAAGCAUGAGAGGUUUGGCUGCUCAUAAUCUUGAGAGACAAAUCAGAAGAGGAAGACAUUGAAUCUAGGUUUACACAAAGAAUUAUGAAAAACCUAAUUUCGAUGAUCUUCCCAAAAACUUGAUUCGCAGUUUUGAUUAUUUCUCCGAUUCCGAGCUCGUGGAAGUUGAUGCCUUCUCCUCGCUUUAAAUCUCUCGAUAAAUCUCUCAAUUUCAUCCAAGAAAGUCUAACUGAAAAAGAAGUCUAAUUGCACUUUUAUAGAGGCUCUUCCUUUGGGGCUGUCGGAUACCAAAAGUGUGCCGCCAGUUUUGGUUUUUCUUCAGCGCACUUUCGGUCUAAAUGUCAGAGACCUGAAGUUCGAUGAAAUACUAAAAGUGCUUUUUAACACACCAAAAGUGUGCUGCGCACUUUGGGUAUAGGUUAGGCGCAUUUUUUGUUUCAAAGCCGACUCGGGUUUUGUUUUCAUUCGUCGAUGCAUCCAGCUCCUCCUUACAUAUCAUACAGCUCUAAAUACUACCUAGAUAUCAUCAUAUUCCUGGAAUCCAUGAAAAACACUUCAAAACAACAUUAAAUGGACCCUAAACGGGUCCGAGACACUAAAUCGAGAUAGAUGUUAUAAAUGCACGAAACAUCCUAAACUUCUGCUUAGAAAUAUACGAAUAUGCAGGAAAUGUUGCUUAAACAAGGGAGAUGAACACAACAAAUUGAGUUUCAUCAAUUAUCUUUUUAUCCGCAUGCUUUUUGAGUAAAUACUAGCUCAUUUGUGUUUCAAGGAUCCAUGUGGUUUUACGUCUUGGCAUUUUAUGCCUAGACCCAUUCAUUUGAACUUUUUUGGUCUAUUUGAUGUGUUUCUUUAUAGUAUUUUUCAUCCACGUGUACUUUAGAGACAGGUGUUCUGGCUACAAGGUUAAGGACACAGAUUAGAGCACGGUUGGACCUCAAAUGGAAUGACGAUGCAAGAAUUGGUGAAAAGAAAGGAUGCAUGUCGUGCAUCAAUGCACACCGUGCAUGCCCUAAAUUUCAAAUAGCUCACGGUGGAAAAAAAACAUGUUGGAGAAGGAAAAGGACUUGAAAACCCGUCUGGGGGUGGGACACGGCGUGCUCCAUAUGGAACACGCCGUGUUCCAUGAAUACGGCCGUGUUCCUGGCCGUGUUCGGCCCCUGUAACUUUCUCGAGCAAUUUCAGCGGAGGAACACGCCGUGUUCCUUCAUUAUACGGAAUUUGACCAUAGUGUCAACAUCAAAGUUGUAGAAAAUCGAAUUAUCUUUCCAACGCCGCUGACCUUGCAUCAAUUGGACUUCGGAGCGAUGAGUUAUGCUCAAAAUACUAAACAGUGACGCUUUCUUCCAAAGUCGAACGCUUUGAAUUGUUCCAGCCUCCCCAUCAUGUCUUUGUUUAUCUCCAAACGUCAUAUGACACCUGAAAUAUACCAAGAACAUACCAAACACCAUAAUACCGCCCUGAGGAACAAGAGAACCAAAUAUGUACUCAAAACUCAAAUUUAAAUACAUUUCGACACACAAAAAUAUAGUUUAUACAUCACAUCACCUAUCAAAUAUCAAAUUCGUUGAACCUUUCAUAAUUCUGACCUGAUUAGCUGCCAAAGACAAAUGCAAAUCGAAGCAUAGAUAUUGUCCUUUUUGGAGAACCUCAAAUGAAAAAACAAAAAAGAGGAGUACCUAAAAAAAAAUAGGAGGCCCAGCUAAAAUGCCUCGUUCCCUGCCACGUGUUCACCAAAACAUCGACUUGUUUCAUUACAAACAGCACCACGUAUUGCUUGUGGAUGGGAUCUACGUGUCCGGAUCCUUCCUGCAUGUAUAUCCUGCAACACCAAUGAAUAUAAACUACGCAACCCCAUCAUCUAAUCUCCAAUUAACUCUCGGUUUAUCAAAACCUAGAAAUCCUAGCUAGAGAUCGAGAAAAAGAAUUAGCAACAAAUUAAAUAAAAGAGGAGGAGAUCAUGAGCCAGCACCAACAGCCACAAAGGCCGCAAGACCCAGUAAAUUAUGGGGAUCUCUUCCAGGACGUGCAGGGUGAGCUGGCGGAGAAGACGGUGGCCCCUAGAGACGCCGCCAUGAUGCAAACUGCCGAGAAUAAGUUGACCGGCAAUAUCAAGAAGGGCGGUGCGGCUGCCGUUAUGCAAUCGGCCGCUGACAAGAACGAAAGGGCUGGGUUUGUCAGCCAUGAUGAUGUUAGCCAUGUCGCCGACGACCUAGGUAUUAGCGCUACCGAGAUUGAUUUCCCUGCCGGCGGAAGCGUCAUCACCGAAUCUGUCGGCGGACAGGUAUGUACGUAACGUAGGACAUCAUUACAUGAAAUGAUAAAAGCAACGUUGACCCCAUCCACUAUUUUCUCACCGUUGAAUAUAUAUUUGAUAUUAAAUGAAAUAAGUUGGUUGUCAAUGUUUGAGAUGUGAUAUUCACACAUUAGAAAUAAGUUGAAUUAAAUUCUCAUAAUUUAAUAAAUUACAUUAAAGUUUCCACAUAUAUCUUAAUUAAUUUAUUCUAAUUAGAUAGAUUUUAUUAAAAUGGGGAUAUAUCUGUCAUUUAAUUAUAAUUAGUAAACAUUUUGUGAAAUUGAUGUCGAACAUUUCACUUUAAUUUUUCGGAACUGCUAGUUUCAUUUUGGUAGAGUUUAAAAUUUCGAAUUCAAAAUGAAUUCCUUCAUACCCCAAAUCUGAUAAAAUUCAAUUUAAAAUAAAUUUCAUAAAUUUUUGACCGAUUUAUUUAUACCCAUCGGGAUGUUAACUACCUCAAAUCCUCAUCACCUCAUCACCUCAUCUGUCGAGUUCUCUGUCAAACAAAUAAAAAAAUCGAUCGACCCUUAGCUACGUAUUGCUGCGCCGUCUAAAUUACUUUUGGUUGAACGUUGCGUUUCGUUUCUGAUGUUUUUGUUUGCGCGCGUGUGUGUAAAGGUUGUUGGGAAGUUUGACAAGGUGGAAUCAAAGGUGCCGGCGACUCAGCAGGGCGGUGGAGCGGUGAUGAUAGGGGAAGCGUUGGAAGCAGCGGUGCUAACGGCAGGGAAGAAGCCAGUAGAGAGAAGCGACGCGGCAGCCAUUCAAGCAGCGGAGGUUAGAGCAACGAGCCGCACCACCAUCGUUCCUGGAGGGAUAGCCGCCGCAGCUCAGUCGGCAGCCAUUCUCAACGCUAGGGCUACAACUGACGAGGAGAAAACUACUCUCGCCGAUGUGCUCUCUGUAAGCAUGCAUUCAUCAUUAAUUAGAUUUAUUUCUCAUAAGAAUGGAACGUCUGGUGAAGCUAGGGACAUUGCUCCCUGAAUACGAUCCCACAAUCUGGAUCCUUGGAUCUUCACUUGAUCUACUGAUUUACUGGCGACAUUGCUUCCCAGAUCUAAUCCCGCAAUCUGAAUUCUUAGAAUAAUCGGUAAAGAUUAAAGACACGAUUUUUGGAUGGCUGAAAUUUCUGCAGCUUUCUGAUUUGGAUUCAAAAGCCAUUUGGUCUGGUUUAAUUUUGUUUAUGAUGUGGCAGGACGCAAAAGAAAAGCUGCCGGCAGACAGGGCGGCGACGAGGAAGGAUGCCGAGGGGGUGGCGGGUGCUGAAAUGAGGAACGAUCCUUAUCUGACAACUCACCCGACUGGGGUGGCCGCUUCUGUUGCCGCGGCUGCUAGGAUUAACCAACAAGCUAAUCUCCACGACGACAACGUUUAAACUAACCAUCAUCGAUCAUGAUCGAGCUUUGUUUUUAACCUUUUUUUAUGUUGAGUGAUGAUGAUAUAUAGGUAGCUGUGUAAUCUGUAAAAUGUAAAUGGCGGGGAGAUGCAUGCAUGUGUGUGUGGGGUGUGUGGUGUGUGUUUCUUUUUGUGCUUGGCAAACCAAACCAAUGUACAUUCAACUUCUCUUCAUGGUAAUCAGGAUCUUUUAUUUUGUUGAUCAUGGUAUACUAGAAACAAAGUUCUGUAUCAGAAAUAAAUAUAUAAUUUCAGUUUGAGAAACAUAAACAAUUACACAAAAUAAAUCUAUCUCUUGCCCAUACAAUUUGUAAGUGGCUGAGAACGUUUAAUAUUAUUUCCUACAGUUGAUAUGGUUUGCAACUCCUCUUAACUAAGAUUUGUUUCCAACUUCUCUUUUAUUUUGGAAAAGGUUCAAUCUUACUUCGGCCUUUUUUAUAUUUUACUAUAUUAUUGCCAGAUUUUUUAAUCAUAUUUUGAUUAUGAUCUGGAACAAAAUUUAUAUAUAAUAAUAUACUAGCUCUGAAAAAAUUACACAAAAUAGUAGAGUAAUAGAAAGAUUUGUUCGUUGAAAACAAAUUUCUUUCUUCGAGUUAUACUAGUGACUGGAGCUGUGAUUGUGUCGAUGACACUGCCUCGAAAGUAAUAUUUUUCGAGUAUAAGCACACCAAAAUAACUGGAGGUAAUCACAAGAUUUCUCAAUUGAGAUUGGAACUUAACGUAAGAACUAUGGGAUUCAUAUUGAAGGAAGAGAUGUGUUCUGUUUGAGUGUUCCUGAAUCAUGAGAGAUGGACCUAUUUAUAGGAGAGCCAUCAGCAGAUCUCCACUCUUCCAAUCUUCCUUGGAAUCAUCAUAAUCAUUGAAUAGCUUGAAGAAGUGGGGAACUGAAAAAUCCCCGAUAUCCAGCUAACAGGCUGAGAAAUCAGUUACAGGAUUUUUUUCAUAAUUCCGUUAAGAGCCGUCAGAAAUCAGUCGAUAAAUCGUUAAGUUGCAACACAGCGUUUUCCUCAACUGUAAAAAGCAACCUCAACGUUUUACAAUUUUCAUUUCACCAAGAUGGAGUUCCCCCGACUGCAUCCUGAUUGGUGAAUGAAUGGUAUGAAAAAUAUCAUCUGCGACAUCUCGUAUUACCAACUCGAAGCCACUGGAAAACGUGCCAGUAGAUUCCAAAAAGGCGACACUGCAUUUGAGCAUGUCACCCGACGGAGGAUGCCAAGCUGACAGUAAAUAGCACAGCGAGAAGGGCCAUGACGAGCAAGCUGGCGUGAAGUCUCUUCCAUCUUUUGUUUCUCACCAAACGUAACGUUGUUUCAUUGGUGCCUCUUCGUGUAUAUAUAACUAGGGAGGAAUAGAAGAUUUUCUACUCAAGAUAACUGUUAAUAUAUCAGUACUAUCAGAUUAAAAAUUCUCUGUAAUCUAACAUUUGGUAUCAUAGCAAUGAAGAUCCAUGGUUGACGUGUCACCAAAUGGCAACGACGGCAACCGUAGUUCAAACGUAAGGAUCGGAGCACAAAUAAUGGUGUUCCAAUCUAAUAUCCUCAAUUGACGGAGACGAAUUAUGGUUUGUGGGCUGUGAAGAUGAAGAUUAUAAUGCGCUCGAUGGGCGUAUGGACAGCAAUUGAAGGCGACGACCCGGUCGAAGAACAGAAGGACCAAGGAGCGCUGGCCGCCAUAUUACAAUCUGUGCCAGAUUCAGUAAUGAUGUCGAUUGCAACGAAAGAGACAGCACUGGAGGCAUGGGAAGAGAUUCGUAAGACGCGAAUCAGAGAGGAGCGUGUGAAGAAGUCUUCUAUUCAGUCAUUAAGGUGUCAGUUCGAUCGAAUGGUUAUGGAAGAUUCUGAGGAAUUUGCUGGUUUCACAAAGAAAUUUAUGGCAUAGGGAGAUAUGUCGACGAUGCCUGUAUCUGAAGUAAUUGGGCGCAUGCGAGCAUUCGAUCUGAGUUCUCGCAGUCGACAACGAGAGCGCAAAAUCGAGGGAAGUGAUCAGUUGAUGAUAGUCACUCGUGGUCAGAUCGAGCAGAUGAUCCAGAAGGGAAGAGUCUGAAGAGGGGCUGAGCAGCAAUACUUGCAAGACCACCGAUCGUAGUCAUGGAAUUAGUGGUGACAACAACAUCGUACGCAACGUUUCCGGCGAGAAGAAGCAUCGUAAGUUUGAUAAAAGUAAGUACAAAUGCUUUAAUUGCAAUAUUAUGGGACAUUAUGCCUACGAGUUUAGCAAACCAAGAAGAGAGAGGGCUCAUCUUACAGUAGAGGAAGGUGAAGAUGAUGAACCUAUGUCUCUCAUGACGAAGGCUUGUGAAGUUGUGAAUGUGGGGACUAUACCAGGCGGAAGAGUUUCCCUACACGAAGAAAGGGUAAUGCCGCAGUUGACCGGAAGUCAAGAUCUCUCCUGGUACCAAGCUUCGGGUGCAAGCAAUCACAUGACGGGAUCGAUCGGAAAGUUUGCUAAACUUGACAGAUCUAUUCGAGGAACGGUUAAGUUUGGUGAUGGCUCGUCGGUGGAGAUUUGGGGUCGUGGUUUCAUCCUUAUGAUGUGUCAAACUGGAGAGCAUCAGAUCAUGACCAAGGUAUAUUACAUACCACGUUUAAGGAGUAAUAUUAUAAGCAUGGGUCAACUAGAUGAAAAUGGCUACAAGUUUGUCGUCGAGGAUGGCGUCAUGUUCGUACAUGACCGUCAACGGAAGCGAUUGGCAAGGGUAAGAAGAGCAAAAUACCGACUAUACGUGUUAAAUGUCCUUCAAACCAAGCCGGAAAGCAAAAGAGAAAUCUAGUAUAGGGAAAUAUGGUUGUGGGGAUGCCACUGCUCGAUCAAGUGGAGAGGAUUUGUGAAGGGUGUAUGCUGGGCAAGCAAAAGAGAAAUCCAUUCCCAUCAGAGAAGAUCUCCAACUCGUGCACGGCGAUUUAUGUGGACUUAUCUCUCCUGCUACACAUGCUGGUAUGAAGUACUUUCUCUUGUUAGUUGAUGACAUGUCUAGAUUCAUGUGGGCAAUACUAAUUAAGAGUAAAGAUGGGGCGCUUGAAGCAAUAAAGAAGGUGCAAACUGCGGCAGAGUUGGAAACAGGGCAUAAGCUCAAAGUGUUGCGGACUGGCCGAUGUGGAGAAUUUACAUCAAAUGACUUCACCAAGUAUUGUGACGAUUUAGGCAUAAAGCAUCACCUUAUGGCUCCAUACUCUCCGCAACAAAAUGGAAUUGUAGAAAGGAGAAAUCAAACUGUUACCGGAAUGGAGAGAAAUUUGUUGUAAAGCAUGGAAGCACCGACGAAAUUCUGGGGAGAGGCAUUGAUGACAGCAGUGUACUUGCUGAACCGUGCUCCAACCAGGAGUGUGGCAGGGAUGACGCCAUAUGAGGCUUGGCACAAACGAAAGACCGAUGUACACCACCUACGUACUUUUGGUUGUGUUGCAUAUGUAAAGAAGAUUGAAAGGCAUCUCUCAAAAUUGGUGGACAGGAGCACACCAAUGGUGUUCAAUCUCGUGACAAAUAAGCUGCACGUGAUGAGAGAUGCUAUAUUCGAUGAAGGUCGGAAGUGGAAAUAGACCGAGAAAUACGAAGAAACGGUCCCUGGCAAAAGCGCCAAUUUGACGCGCGGAUUUUCACCCGCCAAUCAAAUACCCACUAGAUUGCUCUAAUGGAAUCGUUUAUUUUCCUAGGGUCUUUCUAACGAUAUUACUCAAAUCGAUUAUGCUAACUAAACCAAGUAACAGUGAACGAUUAUUUGUUUGAUUGUUUAUGUAUCCAAUUAUAAACUAAUGACUGAAAUAAAAUAAAUCAAAAUGCAAGAAAUCGAGUUUCAAAGAUAAAAUGAAGGUUGUUCGGACUCGCAUCCACAAUAGCUAGGAAUGCAUGGAAGAACGAUAUGCAAUCUCAAUUAUUCAAGUUAUAGUAGCUUGGCGAUUUCCUACGAUAGUCUUAGAUCACUCUCGCGCCUCUAAGGAUCUAUUNNNNNNNNNNNNNNNNNNNNNNNNNNNNNNNNNNNNNNNNNNNNNNNNNNNNNNNNNNNNNNNNNNNNNNNNNUGUUCGAUGAAAUGCCACAACGAUAAACGUGCAAAGAGCCUAAACGAUUCGCUCCUCUCUCGAGCUAACGAAUAAUCUAGGGUUCUUCCUAAGCGACCUAUCAAUCUAUGUUCCUCUAGGACCCAUAAAUCAAUGACGACGAUUCAAUCAAGUUAAUCAGACGAGAAUGAAUAUGAAAUUAGGUUUAGAAAGAACACACGAUAAUCCUAAAUAACAUCGAAGCAAUAUCAAAGGUUUAGAAACCCAUCAUCCAUACAAAAGCUAAGCUAGAGUUUCAUCUAAUCCAAACAAUACAAAGAGUUUAGCCGCUCAUGGUUUCGGAAAAUUAAUCAUAAGAGAAGAGAAGAAAACUGGAGAAGACGAUAUGUUCUUCGUGGAAAUCCCAAUCUUCGACUUGAUGAUUCGCCCUUCGCCAAUUGUGGUUGAUCCUCUCGCUUCAAUCGUCUCUCGGGAACCCUUUCUCUCUUCAAGAGCUCGAAAUAUGUGUAUAAUGAAGUACCUCUCGUCCAUAGGGGGUUUCGGGGGUAUUUAUAGGCUUCUAGGCCAAGUUGGAGAAGGAAAAGGACUUAAAUACCUUUCUGGGGUGGUACACGCCAUGUUCCCGGUCGUUCCCCCCCCCCCCUUAAGUUUCUCGAGCAAUUCCAGAGGAGGGACAUGUCGUGUUCCUUAAUUAUACAUAAUUUGACCAUAGUGGCAACAUAAAAGUUGUAGAGUCGAAUUAUCUUUCCAAUGUCGCUGACCUCAGUGACGGUUUCUUCCCAAAUUAAACGUUUUGAGUUGUUCCAUCCUCUCCAUCAUGUCUUGGUUCAUCUCUAAAUGUCACAUGACACCUGAAAUGUACAAAAAUGUAUCAAACACCAUAACACGGCCCCCGGGGGGGAGAGAGAGAACCAAACAUGUACUCAAAAACCCGAAUUUGAAUACAUUUUGACACACACAAAUAUAGUUUAUAAGGAUAAAAAGUGUGUCAAAAAUACAGCACAUCAAACCACCCUACACUUAAAUGCUUGCUUGUCCUCAAAUAAAUCUAUAAAUCACUCUAUAAAGAACUCAACAUAUGGUGAUCGGAAGACAAAGCUCAGGUCCUUAAUUCUACCAUGGUGUUCAGGAAUGCAAGUCAAUCAAUAAACCACACAAUUAGGCAUGAAACACUAAAUCCCUUAAAUUAUUAUAAGAUAGACUCAUGCAGAUGAUAUAAAUGAUUUGAUACCUAACCACCAGAGUGUAUCCAUAUCCCCCAAAAACUUAUACCUUCUAGUUUCCAGCGGAAGUAACAUACCGAUGGCUCGUCCUGGCUGGAAUUUAUCUUCCGUCCUAAGGGGGUGGUGCUUCAAUUUUUAAUAGCACUCAAGUUAUGCUAGCACCUCCCUCUUGUUUUGAGUUGCUUACUCGACUAUCUAACACUAGAGAUUACUGAAAACAAAGUUCGAAUAUUGAAAUGUUGCUUCUUUUCUUUCUUUGCUCUUCUUUCUUUAUUGCUUUUUUAGAUAGCAACUUUUUCCAAAUGGGGGAAAUAAUCGCAACUUCAGCCGGACUCAGAAGUAAUCAAUCUCCGCCCCACGCCCCAAGCCUCAUAAAGGUUGGGAAGAUGGCAUACCACUAGGGCUGCCCUACGUGGUUUGGUUGCAACCAAACCCUCCGAAAAAUUUUAUUUAGCGACCUCAUUCGGACUUGUCCCGCCUGUUUUGAGCUUCAUAACAACCUAGACAAAUUCGUUGGGUGGAUACACAUACACUCUACUACAACUUAGAACAAAACAGUGGAAGGUAACGAUUCAUUUUUAACAUAUAUAUGAGUCUCUAGUGUACUAAUUUUGGCAAAAUGACAUGUGGUUCAAAAAUGACAUCCUAACAUCCAAGACAUCCUCAAAUAGAAUAAGAACAAUAAACAUGCAUUCACUAACAGCCACAAACUAAGCUUAAGAGGGAGUUUCAAAAAGUAAGGAAAGCAAUUCAACGAUACUACUCACAAGUUAGGUACUCAUCAAUUUAGAAGCACCCUAAUUCACCCCACACUUAAACAGGACAUUAUCCUCAAUCGACCAAAAACUCAAGAGAGAUAGGGCCAAAAAAUAUGGUACUAACUUGGAGAUACGAUAGUGAGCAGACGUAGAGUCUGGACGAGGAUCAAAACUCCUAUCAGCUGGUGCAUGAGAUUGAGAUAUCAUCUAGAUACGAUUAGAGUUCUACAGCCACAGAGAAACAAAAAAAACAAGAGAGGGUAGGCUAAUGCAAAUCUGUUACAUCUAAUCAUAAGAAAUAAAUGAAAAGAAAAUAGACUCACAAUAUUUCAACCACAUGACAUAAGCAAAAACAAAUAAAAGAGAAAGACUCAACACUCGGGUUGCCUCCCGAGAAGCGCUCUUUCUUUUACGUCUUUGAGCUAGACGAUACCUGAAUGAUUAUAUUGGGGCAAACCAACUCAGAACAUCUGUGAGGCUAGAGCAUCAUUGGUUUUGACAUACAACUUGUCUGCUCCACUCUGAAGCAGCCACCUUCUCUUUCCAGCAUGAAUAAGUUCCACUAUGCUAUCACCUCUAACACCAGUGACUUCAAACGGUCCAAACCACUCAUCCUUGUCGACUUCUAAAGUGAAAGUCCUAGAGUCGUUCUUUUGUUGUACUUCCUUCUUCUUUUUGGUGCCCUUCUUUGGGACACUCGUUGCUGCUUCCAUGAGUUCUUCAUCAGCUGUCGAUACCUGCACUUUUAAAGCAAUGUCUAGUGGAGCAGGAUCAUUAAUAACAGUACAAGUAAAGGCAUAAUUAAGAUCAUUCAACAGAGACCUAGCUAGUGAUGAGUUGUUGGAGGCAGGGCUAGACAUCUCAAAUGUGAUCUCAUCUUCUUCAGUCCUUAAGGCCAGUAGUCCAGUUCUCACACUAAUGAUUACAUGAGUAGUAGCUAAGAAUGGUCGACCAUGAAGGACAUGGAGUUGGGACCUACUUCAUAUCUGUACUUGCCUACUCUAACAAUGACAUUCUCAGUAAUUCCCCUAGGAUAACGGGUAGUUUGAUCAUCUAGUUGAAUAUUCAUCGUAGUGGGACAUAAAGUAGGCAAGUCAAGACGUUCAAACAAGAUGUAAGGCAUAACAAUAACACUAGCACCCAAAUCUACUAAAGCCCUAUCAAUGCGAUGAUCACCAAUAUAACAAGGUAAAGUGAAACUCCAUGGGUUGGAGCGUUUCUUCACCACUGUGGGCUCACGAUCUGUUGUCUUUGUUCUGUUUGGGGACAUUGAAGCUACUUCUUUCUUCUGCUCAGCCAUCAUCUUCAGUGGAGUCUGUUUAGGUAGAGGGCCGAGUGUCUCAUUAUGUUCUUGAUCUUCUACUCUCUCUUUCAAAAUCACGCUCUGUGUUCCUCAACCAUUGUAGCAGAUGUUGCAUCUCCUAACUUCCUCUUCUUGGAUAGAAUCUCCUUCAUAAAUUUUACAUAAUUGGGCAUCUUGACCAAAACUUCUAAUAGUGGAAUGCUCAAACUCUGGUUGUUGAUCAUGUCAAGGAACUUCUCAAAAUCCUCCUUUGUCAUCUUCUUCCUGUUCGAUGUAGCUGUGUAUGACACUCUAGGCGUAUAAGGUGAGUCGGGUGAUCUGUUUGGGACUCAAGGGCAUAACCUUCUCUUGUGUCUCCACUAGUACUGGUUUCAUCAAACUGUCACAAAGUUCCUUACCACUCCUUAGUGUAACUGCUCUUGCGAACUCAUCAUGUUUAGGAUUUGAGAUUGUAGUGCUUGGCAUCCCAUUUUUCUUGUCUGUGAUAAGGUUAUCAAGUUUUUUCUCCAAGGCCAGGCGUGUUGCCACUAUUUGAUUGAAACGAGCUUGAUUUUAUGCUUGAAUUACUGUGCUUGUGGCUAUUAAUUUCUCUAGAAGUAGGUCUGUGGAGGACUGCUAUUGUUGAGGUGGAAAACUUGGGGGUCCCUGGUUAGAUGAAUAGGUGAUUUGCCCUUUUUCACCAUAGCUCUCAUUAACAUACCCCUGCUGAUUUUGCUGUGGAAAUUGGUUAUGUUGGUAAUUGCCCCGAUUCUCGUAGUUGUUCUAGCCUUCAUGUUGGUAAUUACCUUGAGCUAUGAAGUUGUUCUGUCCUUGUUGUCCUCUUGGCUGAUAAUUAUUCUAGUUUUGUCGGCCCACUUCAUCAACCUGCUCUUGAUUCACUCCUAGCUCACAAUCUGCCAUACAGUUUAAGAUAUCAUGAUCAGUUCCUCCACAUCCUUCACAAGCAUACACAUAGGCUGGAGGUGCAUUUGCAGGCUUGUUGGAACGCUGGUUGCAUUUCUGAGCUAGCUCUAACCCUUCCAUCUUCUUAGUUAGCAACUGAUCAAGCAAUUUAGCCUGUUGAAACUCAAUAGUAGAUGAGUUUUCCUCACCUGUAACUGAUUUAGACCUCAUUUUUUGAACUUGUCCUGGACACAUUCAACUCAAUGCAACUGGAUUUGUAAGAAUAAGGGUCCUCAUCUUCUGAGCAUAGGCUCUGCAAGCUUCAAGUGCCUGAGGUGGUGUCAGAUCUGUAAGAUUUCCUGGAAUAGACAUACUGAGGUCCUUCUAUUUGUGAUAGUCCAAGCCCCUGAUGAAGGUCUUAAACUUGGUGUGCACAUCCAAGUCAUGUGAGCACAGGAACAAAGGAGACUCUGGAACCUGUGCCAAGCAUCAUAGAAAAACUCAUUAGAAUGACUUUUGAACUGAGCAAUUCUAGCCUUUAAUGCUUCUAUUCUAGAUGGAGAGAAGAAUUCCUCGAGAAACUUUGUAACCAAGCCAUCCCAAAUAGUGAAGUGCCUUGCUUGAUGCUCAUACAACCACUCAAGUGCUUCCCCUUUGAGAGAAAAUGGGAAUAGGCUGAGUUUAAGGUCGUCGAUAUGCACUCCUCUUGCUUAUUCAUCUCAGCUAGAUGAACGAAAUCCCUGAGAUGAGCAUUGGGGUCUUCAUCCGAUCCUCCAGGGAAUGCCCUUGAUUGAAUAAGAUUAGUUAGGGGCACUGGAGUUUGAUAAGCUUGAUCUCUUCUGAUUGGAGAUUCAAUGCUUGAGGUAGCUCCUCCGAGAGUAGGUCGGCCAUAGUCUCUUAAUGGCUUCCUGUCAGGAAUGAGAAGAAACUAUGCGUUAUUGUGGUUGACGUGGUUUCCAUCCUCGUGAUUGUGGUUGUCGUUGCGGUUGUGGUUGUCGUUAUGACUGUUGUUGUUGUUGUGAUGGUUGUCGUUUCAGUUGUUGUUGUGGUUUUCGUUGUUGUUAUUGUUGCCAACUUCAUUAUUGUUUAACACCUCCAUCUCAAUUUCCUCUUCUUCCUUCUCUUUGCUUGCAACUGUUGGAGGAUGGUCGAAAUAAAGCUCUAACACUAGUUUCUUGCGAGACUUGGGACCGAGAUGAGUGUAUAAAGUUGACCCCUUUUUGGCUAGUCGUUUGCCUUUUCGAGGAGAUGUUAACUCCGCAAUUUUCCCUGCACAACAAGAAACAACAAAACCGUGUAAUAUGAAAAUGUGGGAGGAGAAGUAAUGAUAAGAUGAAUGAAGGACUAUCUAACAAUCAAAUUUUCCUAGAAUUAGAAAAGGUCCCCGACAACGGCUCCAAUUUGAUGCGCGGAUUUUAUCCGCCAAUCAAGUACCCACUAGAUUGCUCUAAUGGAAUCGUUUAUUUCCCUAGGGUCUUUCUAACGCUAUUACUCAAAUUUAUUACGCUAACUAAACCAAGUAACAGUGUUUGAUUUUUUAUGUAUCGAAUUAUAAACUAAUGACUGAAAUAAUACAAAUCAAAAUGCAAGAAAUCAAGUUUCAAAGAUAAGAGGAAGGUUGUUCAGACUCGAAUCCACAAUAGCUAGCAAUGUAUGGAAGAACGAUAUGCAAUCUCAAUUAUUCAAGUUAUAAUGGCUUGGCGAUUUCCUACGAUAGUCUUAGAUCACUCUCGCGCCUCUAAGGAUCUAUUCCGCUCGAGAGUAGACUCCUCUCUCGAGCUAAUCUACACCCAAGCAGAACGCAUAAAGGGUGUUCGAUGAAAUGCCACAAUGGUAAACGAUGCAAAAAACCUAGAUUAAACACUCCUCUCUCGAGCUAACGAGUAACCUAGACUUCUUCCUAAGCGACCUAUAAAUCUAUGUUCCUCUCGGGCCCACAAAUCAAUGACGAUGAUUCAAUCAAGAUGAUCAGACGAGAAUGAAUCUGAAAUUAGGUUUAUCAAGAACACACGAUAAUCCGGAAUAACAUCGAUAUCAAUAUCAAAGGUUUAGAAACCCAUCAUCCAUACAAAAGCUAAGAUAGAGUUUCAUCUAAUCCAAACAACACAAAGAGUUUAGCCGCUCAUGGUUUCGGAAAAUAAAUCACAAAAGAAGAGAAGAAAAACCGGAGAAGAUGACAUUUUCUUCGUGGAAAUCCCAAUCUUCGACUUGAUGAUUCGCCCUUCGCCAAUUGUGGUUGAUCCUCUCGCUUCAAUCGUCUCUCAGGAACUCUUGCUCUCUCGAAGAGUUCGAAAAUAUGUGAAUAAUGAAGCAUGUCACAUCCAUAGAGGGUCUCGGGGAUAUUUAUAGGCUUAUGGACCAAGUUGGAGAAGAAAAAGUACUUAAAACCCGCCUGGGAGUUGAACACGCCGUGUUCCCGGCCGUGUUCCGCCCUUGUAAAUUUCUCGGGCAAUGCUAGAGGAGGGACACGCCGUGUUUCUUAAUUAUAUGGAAUUUGACCAUGGCGUCAACAAAAUAGUUGUAGACAUUGGAAUUAUCUUUUCAACGGCGCUGACCUUACAUCAAUUGAACUUCGGAGAGAUGAGUUAUGCUCAAAAUACGAAACAGUGACGUUUUCUUCCCAAAUCGAACGUUUUGAGUUGUUUUGGCCUCUUUGUCAUGUCUUGGUUCAUCUCUAAACGUCAAAUGUACCAAAAAUAUACCAAACACCAUAACGCGGCUCUAGGGGCAAGAGAACCAAACAUGUAGUCAAAAACCCAAAUUUGAAUACAUUUCGAGACACAAUAAUACAGUUUAUAACGAGAAAAGGUGUGUCGAAAAUACAACACAUCAGUACAUCACAUGGAUUUGAAGUCUGCUUUCUUGAACGGGGAAAUUGAAGAAGUAUAUGUGGCUCAACCUCCGGGUUUCGAAGUAAAAGGAGAGGAACACAUGCUUCUGAGAUUGCACACGGCUCUAUGUGAAUUACGUCAAGCUCCGCGAGCAUGGAAUGCGAAGUUAGACAAGACCCUAAAUACAGUUGGUUUUGUCAAAUGUCAAAGUGAGCAUGCUGGAAUAGUACGGUUGAGAUUUUAUUGGAACGAAUGCUUUUCCUAGAUCCGGAUUGCGAAGGAAUGAUACCAACUGGAAUAUUAAAACAAGACAGCUUGCGAGGGACCAUUAAUAAAAUAUGAUUUAAAAAAAGUUCACAAUUCUCAAUGCUAACCAGUACCACCACCGCAGAUAUCCACUCUAUCACCCCAUCGCCGCGGCCAUGUCUCCUAAGGCCUACCGCCAACGACCCGCACCGCUGAAUUAGGGGACUCCCUCGAGGCAGCUUCCACAACUCCCACCGACGAACGUGGCCGUCUCGACCCCACUCCCCCAUCCAAACAAAUCAGCCGUACCGCCAACUACAGGUAUGGUCGGUGAUGGACUUUCAUCGUCUAACCUGGCGACGAUAGAGAUCCGAGACUUAUCGUUGGCGGAUAGUGAUGAUGAGGAGAUCGGUGAAGCACGCAGUUCCACCGCUAUCCAACUUCCUUGGUCGGGAAAUUCUGUGGCGACAAGUACGCCAACUUCAAGGCAAUGCAGCGGACGCUGGCUCUGGCUGGGAAACCGGGUCGGUCCAUGGAAUUCUAGGAGCUCAAAGAAGGUCUCUAUCUAUUUCGUUUCCAUCAUGAGAUGGACCUCCUGAGGAUUGUCAACGACGGUCGUGGAAUUACGAUGGCUCUCUGCUAAUUCUGUAUGAGCUCGAAAUUGGAGAAGAUUCACAAAUGGUGCAUCUACACCGGGUCCCCUUUUGGCUGCAAGUUCACGAGCUUCCCUUUGAUCACUUUUCAAAGGAAGUUGGUCGCAUCAUCAGAGACUAUGCUGAAACGUUCCUGACCUACAACCCUGCUAAUAAUGUGAAGUCCUUGGCGGAUCAAUACAUGCGCAUUCAGGUGGAACUUGAUGUGCGUAAACCUUUACGCCGAGGUAAACUAUUGGGGCUCCACAAUGACGAGCGCCAAGUGCAACUUCAAAUAUGAGCACUUGGAGAAAUUUUGUUACAUUUGUGGGGUCAUGGGUCAGAUUGAAAAUUUUGCGAGAUCUUAUUCCAAGUACUAGCUUCACUCAUUGUCAGGAAGUGGGAUGAUUCCAUAUGAGUCACCCCGCGAAAUGCCAAGGACAAACUAGUGCCUAAGUACCUUAGCAAAAGGACGGACACAAAACCAGAGCUUGCCAUCAACAAGAUGAACCUUCGUGCAGGGAAGGCCGCUCCUCCACAACAGCCUAAUCUCAACGUCUGAUUUUUGGAGGAAGAUGAAGUAAUGAUGGACAUCCCUGAUGAUUGGAAACGCCGUCGAGAGGAAGAGUCUUGCACCAUGACACCGAUAGAUGGGGCAGUGACCAGAAACCCUCUAAAUCCCCGAGGAAAGAUGGUUUAGGCACAUCAAUGAUUCAGGCGGGUCAAUUCGGUUUGAACCGCCCAGCUGCAUAAAACGCCAGUUGGUAGGGGCUGCAGAGUGUGUCGAUCCCGACAGCAUUUCCCUAAUGUCGAUCUCAUCGACUCCACCCGAUGGUUCUAUUUUAUUUUGUUAUUUGUUUCUGCAUUUGGAACUUGUCUGUAGUUCUUUAUUCCGUUUGGUUCUUUUCGUUAGUAGUGUCAGUUCGUGGUGGAGUUUAUUUUCGAGUCGUGUCUAGUUUUAGCGUCAUAUGAGAUUAAUGCCUUGGGAAGUCAAUUCGAUUGGGUGGAGUGUAAGGAUACGAUGUAGAUUUACCAGCCUAUGAUUAAGUACAUUUCCAAUGUAACUUAUUGAAUUGCAACUCUCCAAAAAACUAUUCAUACUUUGUUAGUGAUUAUUGGCCAAUGACAAAAUGAAAGUACAUAUGCAACUUAUAAUAAAAAAACGACAACUUGCAAUUGUGGACAAGAGCUCAAAGGAAAAUGUCGUUCAAUCUUGGAAUCAGUUUUAAUAAUGUGUUAGCCGAAUCAAGAUUGUAGUGUCAGCUAACAUUACCAAGGUUAAUGGAUAGUACCAUAACAAUUUCUUUAUUUUCAUCACAUUACCAAACGGAACUUUAUGCAUAUUCUUUUGCCUUGUGGCUUUUUACAAAUACACCCAAAACAGAAUGGGUGGGAACAGCAUUAGAAAAGACGGGUGAUUUUCAAACUACAAUAGCCAUUUUCAGUGGUGUAUUGUCAUGUUUUCUGCUUCAUUCCUAAUGGAUUCGAACAAUGCAGUUGACAGGUAACGCUCACCUGCACUAGGAAAGAUCACCUGCACCAUACAAAUGUCAACUUGCAAACAUCUUCACAGAAAUUGGAAAAAAACAAACAAAAUAGAAUUUUGUUGCCAAAGAAACUCACCACAAUGAGUUUGCCACUGUAUUCAGGCCUCUUCCCCAGUUUGAUUGCAGCAGCAGCUGCAGCACCCGAUGAUAUCCCUACCAACAGCCCUUCUUUCAAAGCCAGUUGCCUGGCUGUUUCAAUUGCUUCUUGACUUGUUAUCUAAAACAAUAUAACCAAAUUAAACCCCUUUGCUUUCUGUUGUUUCCUUAUUAACAUAUUAUACAAAUGGACUUACUGUAAUAACUUCAUCAAGCAAGUCCACGUUCAGUACUGCAGGAAUGAUCCCAGCACCAAUCCCUUGGAUCAAAUGCAUCCCUUUUUUUUUGCACAGAGAAUAUUCAGAUUUCUGACUACUUUGCUUCAAUAUACGAAAGUUUCACUACAGUGUAAUAGUUUUUAUUGCUCACCAGGCUUUCCUCCAUUCAAGACAGCACUUUCAACUGGCUCUACACCAUAUACCUGAAUUGCAAAAUCAGAUGGUACAGUAUAAAUACAAAAGCAUCUAUCUUUUCCCCCUCUGCUCAACUAGAAAACUACCUUAAUUUCAGGGUUUUGUUCCUUAAGAAACUGGCCAGCUCCAGUCACGGUACCACCAGUCCCAAUACCAGAAACCAGAGCAUCGACUUUGCCUCUAGAGGCCUUCCAGAUCUCCGGCCCAGUAGUUUCAUAGUGAAUCUACCACCAGAGGAAGUGAAAUGUUAAAAAAACAAAAUCAAUUGUAUUUGCAGAAAGAGCAAACAUCAAUGAUAAUUGAUAAGUGGUGGUAACCUUUGGAUUAGCAGGAUUCUCGAAUUGCCUUAGCAUGUAACCAUUAGGUGUGUUGCUCAAUAUCUCUUCAGACUUGUCCAGAACACCUCUAAAGCCCUUGGCUGGAUCCGUGAGGAUAACCUCAGCUCCAAAGGCUAAAAGGAUAAUUCUUCUUUCAAGGCUCACCAUGGAUGGCAUUACCAGAAUAACUUUGUAUCCUUUUCCUGCUGCAAUGAAUGCCAUCCCAAUCCCAGUGUUGCCGCUUGUUGGCUCAAUCAGCACCGUCUUCAACCCAAAAUGUAACCAUCCAUCCAUCCACUCAUUCAUUCAUUCAUUCUAUCCAACGAACUAAGAAACAAACAAAUAUUGAUGCUUCACUAUGAUCAAUCACUGACCUUCCCUGGUGAUAUGAGGCCUUUGUCUUCUGCGUCUUUUAUCAUACUAUAUGCAAUCCUAUGAAAGCAAAUUUCACGACUAAGACACAAGACUCCAAAUCUAAGUUGGUUGGGAACAUGUUAAGAGAAGGAAACAGGUUGUUUAUGUACCUGUCUUUGACACUAGAACAAGGUUCCAUCAUCUCUAGCUUGGCGGCAAUUCGUGCCUCGCAACCAUCAGCAACAUGGUUCAGGUAUACCAUUGGAGUGUUUCCUAUUAACUGCAGAAGGUGAAAAGCAAUAAAUAAGCAAGCGUAUUUGGAUCAAUCCAGCAUCAUCAAAGACGCUUUAGUAAAUGCAGUAGAAAAACGCUUACUUCAGUGACGUCAUUCUUAAUUAUAUAGUUCUCCGCCAUUGAUCCUCACCACUUGAGAGAUUAUAGUACUAUCAAGAUUGAAGAUAAACAAUCCAUAUGCUUAGUUUCUAACGAGUGAGUAAUCGUAUCUAUUUAACAAAACAUUAAUCGAUCUCCAACACAAAGGAAAGCACAAUUGGAUGAAAGGAAAGCUAUUUGUCCUCUAACCUGCAACCAGAAAACUCAAGGAACCCAGCAAAAGCAAGAGUCUUUUUUUCUAUGUAUCUGCAGAAAGAAGAAGAUAGAGCAGAAGAAAUAGUGGGGUUUGGAAUUUAAUAUUUAUAACGGAAAAUAGUCCAGCUACUAGCAGCUGAGGAAUAUGACAAGAGUAUUAAAAUCCAAAACCACACAGACUGUCCCAUGACCAUGUUUUAGGUCAACGUUGAGGACUUUCGGGGCUGCUUAUCCGAUGCAGAUGGUGGGGGUGAUGCACAAGACGAAAUUCCAUUGUUAAAAUAUGGCCAUGGGUAAGAAAGAAUGGCCAAUCCUAUCUCCCAGCAGCAGCAGCUGAUGCAUCAGUUGAAAAUUCCACGAAAGAAUUCAUUACUUCUACGCUUUUGCUAUUUAGUUUUGGACCGCGCUUCCUUGUGGAAAUUCUUGUUUUGUGCAAGUGCAAGGAAAUUUCUUUGGCAGUACUUAUUGUUAUGGAUCUGACUAGGCAAAUAAAAGAUCUUAUCGUAGCCAGUACAAGGUUCAGAGAGGUACCAAACUGAAGAGAAUGGUCCAGAUUAACAAGAUAAUUUGUGGCACAAUUUGUUUUACAGUAAGGUGUGGAAUAAACAUAUUUCCCAAUUUUGGUAUUUAACUUUUUUUUUCCGUAAAAUACUAUUAAUCUCAAUUACCUCAUCCAUUUUUAGUUGGUCAACCAAAAACAUAAAAGUACGAUCGACCUAAUUGACAUUAUUAUGAACCAUAAUAUGCUCAACCAUACUAGCCGUAUAACAGCAAUGGCGCCAAACACCAUUAUGAAUUGAAAAUCACCAAAUUACGACGACACAAGAUACCCAUCUCAGUUUGAUCUUCAACAUCCCCUCAACUUUGAGCUCAAGACAGUCACACUCCAACAUAAUAACAUCGGUGAAUGUUCCAUCCCCUGCGACAAGAACCCUCUUGAUGAUUCCCUUUAUGACGGGUUAGAUAAAAAGUGUCACAGCCACUUUAUAGUCGGUCAUGAUACGGAGUUUCUUCAUGCACGUCGACUAAGGAAUCUUCACGCCCUCGAAAAUUCUCUUCACCUCAGCAAUGUAAUCGAGUAGGCCCCCAAAUAUGAAGAGAAGACCGAAUGAACUUACCCCGAUCAUCACGUAUGAUACCACCAGCCACAUGGAGCCAUACAUUUCAAUUUUGUACAAUUAACAUCUUGUAUCUUAUAAAAACAACCGAUCGGUCCCAAAAACCUAACAAACCUGUCCUACGUCCCAAAACCAAAAGGAAGCGAACAUUUUCUGUGUAAUAAACCGAUGCUUUAGUAGACAAAUCUUUUUAACACACAAACUAUAUAUUUAAUUCUGCUGAAAAAGGUCACUCAUUCCAUAAAAUUCUAUGUAACGGCUCACAAACUUCAUGUCCAAACAUCACAGCUUUUCCCAUUCCGGUAGACUACUAAGAAACCAUCAGAAAUAUGGACCCUCUCUGUAUUAUUCACUCAGUACACACAUGAUACUGCUUCAAGGCUCGAAAACCAUGUUCUCAGCUUCUCGCUUCACAUCCUCGAAGAGUAUCGAUGAGAGGUAUCGCUCACCGAAACUUGGGAACACCACCUGUUUCAGAACCACAUUUUUGUCUCAAGCUUAAAACAAUCACAACGGUAACUAAGGGAUGACGUUGAAGUAUACGACCGAGUUAUAGCUUUGUCAGAAGAUAAGAGUGGGAAAAAAACGUACAACUAUGAGCUUUCCAGCAUUCUCAGGCCUCUUUGCUAUCUUAAUAGCAGCAGCUGCGGCUGCACCAGAUGAUAUUCCUACCUGCGAUCGAUACAUGCAAAUUCUGUCGGCAAAUUCGGAGAUCGUGUACAGAAUGACGGUUAUGAUAACAUGAAGAGUCUUAUUCCAAACCUACCAUCAGUCCUUCCCUCAAGGCGAGGGUUUUUGCUGUCUCGAUAGCUUCUUCGCUCGAUAUCUAUGAAAUUAACCAAAUUUGGAAAUGAAACAGCUGGAAAUAGGGAAAGGAGGGUACAAACAACACAGCUAUUGAGAGAUGAAAUAAUGAUGAACGUAUGAAGAAUAAAAGUUAAGAACUUACUUGAACGACCUCAUCAAGCAAACCAACAUCCAAGACUCCAGGGAUGAAGCCAGCACCAAUUCCCUGGAUUUUAUGCGGGCCUUAAGAGUCCACCACCAAACAGUUCAUCAGAUUAGCAAACAACAGAAAAUGCAAAAACACUUUCUUUUUCACUGUUACGAUGAUAACAUGUGCAUAUGAUGCCUCAUAUUCUCGGAAGAGCAAAAAUGAAGACCUACAAACCAAUACUGACCAGGUUUUCCUCCAGACAACACUGCACUUUCAACUGGUUCAACGCCAUAAAGCUGGAGAGAAAGUUGAAAGCAAACAGUUAGUCAAGGAAAUAAUAACAAUGGUACUUUCAGUCUAUUGCUGUCUAUGUGAUAGAUAAAUUGAAGUGGUACCUUUACAUCUGGGUUCUGCUCCUUAAGAUACUUCCCAGCACCAGUUACUGUUCCUCCAGUUCCUAUACCCGACACAAAGGCAUCUACUUUGCCAGCUGAACCUUUCCAUAUUUCCGGCCCAGUGGUUUCAUAAUGAACCUAGGCAUGGAAACAAGCGUCAUUGCGAGAUGUUAACUGUAGAUCUCUAGCUUACUACUGAGAAGCAAAAUCCUCAGUACCUUUGGGUUGGCAGGGUUUUCAAAUUGCUGAAGAAUGUAAGCAUUAGGUGUCUUUGCCAAGAUAUCUUCUGCUUUCUGAACAGCCCCUUUCAUACCUCUUGCUGGAUCUGUAAGAACAAGCUCGGCUCCAAAAGCACGGAGAACCAUUCUUCUCUCCAAACUCAUCGAAGCAGGCAUGGUAAUUAUAAGUCUGUAGCCCUUGGCUGCUGCCAUGAAUGCCAGCCCUAUCCCAGUGUUCCCACUUGUUGGCUCAAUAAGGACACUCUUUAGCGAAAGAGAAAAACUUAAAAGUCAGAAUCUCAUUUCUUCUCAUGCAACUUGUCAAUCUCUUUCAGUAUCUUAUAUAUGAAGUGCCAAGAUAGUAAAUCGGAUUGCUAACCUCUCCAGGCUUGAUAAGACCCUUCUCCUCGGCAUCAGCUAUCAUACUAUAUCCAAUCCUACAUAAGAGAAAACAGUUCUUAAGGUUAUUAGCAAAUUAAUCCAAGAGAGCAGGGCACCUCAAAAUUCCUUGCUCAUUGUAUAUAGAAACCUGAGAAGUUAAAUAUGAUAACUAGCCAUUCAGAAACCAAUCUCUUAAGAAUAGAAAAAAUAUCCAGAAACACAAUAAGAUUAUCGUGUAUAUAUGCAACAGCCCUACCUAUCCUUGACGCUUGAGCAAGGCUCCAUCAUCUCUAGUUUAGCAGCAACCCGAGCGACGCAGCCAUCCACGACAUUGGUGAGAUAUACCAAUGGUGUUUUACCAAUCAACUACUCAAUUCAAGAAGGAAAGACACAAGGAUAUAUCAGCAGACAGCAAUCGCAUUCAGAUCUUAACUGGUGCAUGUCAUCAAAUCUCAUUUCUAAAAAGGAGUAACAUAGCUUACCUCAGUGACAUCCUUAGCAAUCCCAAUGUUCUCCUCUGCCAUUCUGAUGAAAAAGAGUGCAGCACAAUUACUGCAAAGAAACCAGGAGCCACAUCAUCAGGCUAUAACACCCAAAACAUAAGACGAAAACCACCAAACAUGGUCGAAAGAAAGCAAUUCAUAAACAACAAACGGUCUGAUUGAUGGCAUCAGUGAUUCAGAUAUUACAAAGAUCACUGAAACACAACCUCAGACUUCCAGAAAGAAAAAGGAAAAAGACACAAAUCGCACGAACGUAUAACAGAUUUGCUAAAUACUCGACACAAAGAUCAAAGAUUUGAACUGAUGAGUGAGCUACAUUAACUGAAUGAAAGAAAGAAGAAACCGACAUGGGUAUUUGGGUGCAGAGGGAAUGGUAAGAGCAAAAGCUGGAAGCCGACUAGAAAUUUCUGUGGGCAAUGCAACUGAACUUUCUGGAGCAGAAUAGAGGGAGGAAGAGUUGGUAAAAAGGUUCCUUGCAACUUUGAGGAAUAGAGAGAAACUCACCUAGAAAGGCCUUAUCUUUGAAUUGAGGAGACCAAGACAAAUGGAAGAGAAAGAGCGGAGGAAGAAAAAGCAGCUAAUGAUUCGAAUUAUAUGAUAAUCCCAACCGAGCACAAGCCAACAAUAUAUCCCCUUUCGAUCGAUGUAUCUUAUAUAAUAUUCCCUCUCUGUACAGAACUCGGCGGCGAACGUUAUGAUUUAUUGAUUCGGCUAAUUACGUUUCCAUUUUUUCAACAAAUUUUCGUCGUAAUACAUUGUAACGUAGCUCAUCAUUUCGUUUUCUUGACCCUGCCAGCCUUUUGUUUAUAAUAAGGAUUAUAUUCAAAGUAUUCCUUUUAUUAUUACAAGUUAACAUAUGAGCUUUUUUAUUAUGUUUUUUUCGAUUUAAACCCUUCGACUUUGCUUCGAUUAACAAUCAAGCCUCUUCCUGUCUUUUCUGGUCGUCGGGAUCCGUUGUUUAUGAGUCAGCCCGUAUAUGGUGGUUUAUAAGCUGAUGUAGUGUUGCUGACUGGGAUUUUCACUAAUUUUAGUCAACAUUAUUUAAUGUGCAUAUUUGUAAUUAAAAAAUCUCCAUCAAAUAAGGAAAUCUGAGCAUCAUUAAAUAAGGAAAUCUGAGUAAUGUAAAGGUAGAUAGGAGAUUUGUUCUUCUUCAUACCUUCAAUCUGCUACAACCCUAUAAGGAAGAGAGGAGAUUUCUUCGUCUCAGUAUUUUUUUCAAAUUCCAACAUUCAUCUCGUUAUAGCAAAAUCGGAUCCAGCAACAUAUAAUCAUAUACAUUGUAUCACUUUUGUCCUCUUAUUGUCUACUUUCGAUUAAAGUAAGGAAGCUAUUGAAAUCACUCUAUGCAGCUUCAAUUUCAGUUCAUGAACCUGAAGCUUCAGUUAAACGAGAAAGUGAAAGAAGUUCAAUAACCAUUCAAAUAGAAUAACGAAAAACUCAAAUACACAAAUUAAAAAUUAAAGCAUCAGCUAAUGAUCCCGACCAGGCGACCAACACCAAUUAAAUAACCUAAUAGGCCAAUUAAAUGAGCUAAUAGGGAGCUACAACGGAAGGAUAUGGAGAAGGAGAUGAAGGAUUUUUUAAUUGCUUAAUUGUUAUAUACUCAGAUUUUCUUUUCCUAAUUACAUUGCUCUAAUUUUCUUAUCAGGAGGAAUUUUUUAAAAAUAAUAAAAAAAUAUGCACAUUUAAUGAAGGGUUUAACAAAAAUUAUGGAAAUCCCAAUCAGCACCACCAUAUCAUCCCAUAAACCGACAUGUAUUUGCUGACUCAUUACAAACGGACUCUGGCGACCAAAAAAAAAAGGAGGGGCUUGAUUGUUAAUCGGAGUAAAGUUUGGGGUUUGAAUCCGGAAGAAACAUAACAGAGAGGCUCAUAUGUUAACUUGUAAUAAUAGAUGGGCCAUUUUUUAUAUAAUCCCUUUAUAAUAAUAAGAAUCUUAGGCGUCAAAUUUUUAUUUUUAUUUAAAGACGACGUCAAAACGUCCUUAAUUAUAAUUAGAAGUAAUAGGAACAAGACGCGGGAGAGAAAUCCCAAUGAUAUCAUAGUUUAGCCAGCGAGGCAGACCUCGGUUCGACGAAUCGAAAAAAUGAGCCCCAUACAAUAAAGAGUGGCCUUGAUUAGCCAAGUAGUCUGCGGCAUAAUUAGCUUCGCGGUAGAUGUGGGAGAUAUUAACAUCCCUUUGUCGGCUGCAGAGUUCCUGAAACUACAUAACAAGAAUGGCGUGUUGAUGGUUGAUGGACGAUGCUUGAGUGAGAAAAGCAACAACUGCUUUCGGAUCCGACUGUACACGAAUCCGCAUAAUCCCAAGCGACCAUACUAGUUCCAGACCCUCAACGAUCCCCCUCAUCUCAACACGAGUAAUGGAGCAACUGCGGAGACUAAUAGUAAAGGCUUUGAUAAAUGAACCUCGAUCAUUAUGAAUAAUACCACCUGCUCGAGGUAACAAGGGCUACCCAAUAAUCACACCGACGAGCCACAUCCAGAGGCGAGUUUGUUGCCUAUUCGAAGAGACGCUUAUUGCGAGCCUGCCAUAGAAGCCAGCUCCCUAGCUGAACGCCAAAGCGUGCUUGGGACUUCGAAUGUUAUCCGCCAGCCAUGCUUCCUCAGUCUUUGUAACUUCAGUGGUUAUGAUUACAACUGACCAAAAAGCCCCCCAAACCUGUUUGGAAAAACAACAAUCUCUCAAAACAUGUAUGAAAGAUUCCUCAUGUAUAGAACAAAAGGAGCAAGACACUUGGUUUGUAAGGUGCCAACGUCCACGGUCCAUGUUUGUGAGAAGUCGAUUAUGUGACGCUAGACACAGGAAAUGUCAAAUUUUAAUGGGUCUUUUCCACUUCCAAUUUUUUUUCAUCACGGACGAUUUUUUUCCUCAUUUAAGUCCUUUAGCAGAAGAUAGGCCGAGCAGAUUAUGAAUUUUUUAGUCGGGUCUAAUCCCCAAACCACCGAAUAUGGGCCCAAAUUGGCUCUAGGAGGGGUCAUCCCCAAAUUUUGUGCUGCAACAUUAGUAGGGAGACAGGCAGAGAUCAAAGGCUCAUUCCAAACCCCAUAAUCAAGAACCAAAUCAGAGACAGAGUUAGAGACAUCAAUUCCCUAAAAAUUGAUAUCAAAAUCAAUCAACAUGAGGCCACUAUCAAUCCAUCUGUCAGUCCAAAAUCUCAUUUGCUGGCAACUGCAAAUUGCCCAUUGCAGACCCUUAAGUCUUGUUGAUUCAUUUCCAUGUUGCACAGAUACCAUUCGUUCGAAUCUUGACGUAGCCCUCAUCCGACUUCCUCAAAUACUUGGUAAGAAUCACCUUCGCCCAGAAUUCCUCCGGUCUCAUCAUAAUGCCCCAAUCCACCUUCAUGAGAAAUGACAUAUUCAUUUCACGAGCACUUUGUUGCAAAUGUUUUGUUACUUAUUUUAGGCUAUAGAGCAUAAUGAAGAAAUGAGGCUCAGAGCAAAAAGAGAGUCCCAAGAACAACCUCAGGCACCAGUUACAGAUAAGGUUUGCUACUAGACCAUCAUCUUGAAUUUUGAUAUAGAAUCUGGGAGGAAACUGGUUUCAGCUCUACACUGCAUGAUUUUUAAAAAUCUAGCUAUUUGUACUUAAGGUCGAGCCUUGGAGAUCCCUUUAGAUAUCUUAGGGUUAACUGCCUCCAUAUGAUCUUCAUUGGGGUUAUGCAUAUGCUGACUCACAACUCCAACAACAUAUGCAAUGUUACGACGUGUAUGAGAUACAUAAAUUAGUUCCCCACAAGUCUCGGAUAUCUUCCCCUUUCUACCAAUGCUGGUUCUGCUUUUCGACUCUGCCGUUUAUUCUGCUCCAUUGGUGUAUCUACUUGUUUACAACCAACAUCCUAGUUUCUUUCAAGAGAUUAAGAACAUAUUUUCUUGAGACGCUGUUCGACUAUCCUUUGAUCAAGCAACCUCCAUUCCUGGAAAGUACUAUAGGUACCCAAGAUCUUUGGUUUCAAAAAUUCAGUGGCUAACCUCUUAGUUAGACACAGAGUGUGAUCAGUUUGACACUGCAACCCUUCAGCCUUGACGGCAUUAGUGAAUUCAAACCAUGCACGUGGUUCCUGUUUCAGACCAUACAAUGCCUUCUUCAGUUUACACACCACUCCAACCUCCUCGGAUAAAUGUCUAGUAGAGUUAGUUACGGUCAGUAGAGUUAAGAGUUACAGAUUAGCACUAUUAGAGCUGCAGUCAGUAGAGUUAGAGUUGUAUAUAUAUAUUUUAGUAUUUUUUGGCUAAUAUAUUCUUCAUUUCUUCUAAUGAUGAGUGUAAGAAGCAGGGCAGUAUGUUUGCCUAUAUAUAAAUACAACCAGUUCAUCGUUAUGUUGUUCAAGAUAUGCUGUACAUCCUUCGUCAGGUCAAGCUUGGUGAGCCUGGAUACAAAGAAAGAUAUUAUGCUGAAAAAUUUGAUGCAUCAACACCAGAGGAGUUGGAGAAAGUGCGAAAAGAUAUAGUAAGUUCCAUUUCAGCUGUUGUGAUUGCAAGCUUUGGUAUUUUUAUUUGAUGAUUUAUGUCAUUGAGGUAUCAUUAUGGUGUGAAAGUCAUGCUGCUGGAUGAACUUAGAGACGGUCAAAAUCCAGACUUAUGCUGAGCCCCCUUUUCUGGUUUCUGUUUUGGGAUCUUUGGUUAUAUUCUUGGCAGGUUUUGAAAUACGUAGAAGGCUUGUGUUGGGUAUGCCACUACUACUACCAAGGCGUUUGUUCGUGGCAAUGGUCAGUUUCAUUUUGAGUGAAGUGCUACUAUGUGCUUCUCUUAUAUAUUGUUCUGAAACUAGCUGUAGAUUUCUAUUUCAUUGAUUCCAUCUACCAUAAGAGUUGCGUUCUUGUUAAAGCCUGAAGACAUCUGUAAGACAGCUGCUAAGCAAAAGAUCGGUCUUCUUGAAACCUUUUGACCAGCUCAUGGGAACUCUACCAGCUGCAAGGUUUUAUCUCCUUCCCCCUUGGGUGCCGGUCUUCCCUUAUGCGCCCUUCUCAUUUCUGAUGCUGUCCAUAUGAUUUGCUGCAGUUCUAAUGCUUUGCCCGAGGAAUACAGAAAACUGACGACUGAUCCCUCAUCAGUAUUACAAUCGUUCUUCCCUUCUGGUAAGUUCAACUUGCUGGGAUGGCCAAUUAUGUUUUUAUGUAUUAGCCGUGUUCCAUGAUACCAAUUAUGUGGUUCCUUCCUUGGACAGAUUUUGAUAUCGAUAUGAAUGGCAAACGCUUUGCCUGGCAGGUGAAUGAUUCUUUUUCAGUGAUAGAUUCAAUUUUCAAAUGAUAUCUGUCAUUGGAAUUAAGCCAUUGGAUUUCUUGUCUUGUUCUUGUCGAAUUGCAGGGUAUUGCAAAAUUGCCAUUCAUUGACGAGAGGAAAUUGUUCGGUCAAACAAAGAAGCUUGAGAGUACAUUAACGGUCUGCAAUCUUCUUCUUUUUAACUUGGUAUCAUUAGUACACAUACUGGAAGUACCAACGCAUUGAGUAUUAAUCAUCUGUCUGUUUAGGUAUUACAAGACAUGUUUCUAGCUUUGCAUAGGAUUGUAAGACAUGUUUCUGAUGGGUACUACUGUACAGAUAUCGAACUAUGAAUGACAGUUGUAGCAUGUGAAUGGGACAAUUGUCCCUAUCGCACUCGUGGCUCCCUUGAAUCUAUUAAACUGGACACUCCUUGAAUUUUAAUACUUAGGAUUUUCCCUAAUGUGAUAUUUUAUGUAUUAGAUGUGCGCUACAUAUCAGUAUCGAGUCACCAUGGUCUUUAGCAAAUGAUGAUGUGUUUGGCAUUUGAAGGACGAGGAGAGGGUUCGCAACAGUGCCAUGCUUGAUCUGCUUUACAUCCAUCCUGUCCAUCGUUUGUCUCAGCAAGUUGUCUCUUACUACCAUCAGAACUAUCAAUUACCUCCUCAUGAAAGAUUCCUUUGGGCAAUCGAUCCAAGUGCUAGGUUUGUUUUUCUUUGGUAUUGAUAAUGAUUGAUAUGCUCAUUCAGUUGUGUUCGCCGGUCUUGCUAAUUUCUGGAUCUUGCAGUGCUGGAAUGAACGGGUAUAUUGGGUUGAGCUAGAGGAAUGUGCACAGGAUCUUGCUCCCAUCGCCUAUAAAGGGAUUUCCACCUAUAGAGCAUAAGCUAGUUUUGUAAGUUAAACCUUUUGGGAUUUGCUGGAUCAAACUAUUUGAAAUCCAUGUCAUCCUUACUAUCUCUUGAUUGCAGAAAUAUUACGUAUCUUUCUCCUAUGAGCCAUAGACACAUCCCUGAACCCCCAGCUGGUGUAAAAUUUCCCGGAAAGGUUCGUAAGUUCAUAUGAUACUUGUUGUACCUGUUACUAUCUAUAUUUUGGAGAACGCUAUAUAAAUGCAAAUCACUUUACGGUCCAUGCAAGUCUCAAAUUUGAACGUGGUUCACCCUCAUUUCGCAUUAUGUCUGACAGCUAGGUGAGUGAUUUCUGUGUACUUAUCUUUCAUUUCGCAUUAAUGUCUGACAUACUCUUCACUUAAAUCAAGUUUCAACUGCAAAUUCUGAAGAUACAACUUGGUAGAACUAGACUACGGACUUGCAGAUUUUAUGCCAUCUUUUUAAUUUAUUAUGUUCACCCUAGGAUUGCUUGUUUGAAUUUGUGGAACAGAAGAUAGAAAUUAAAAGCUGAUUUUCUUCUUAGCGUAGUUAUUGUUGGAUUGUGGGUUGCUUUCAAAAAGAAGUUAUGAUGUGGUUUGGUAAUUGUCCCGUUGCAAAUUUGUGUGACGUAAUUGUAGAUUGUAAAGGCCGCAGACGUCAAACCAUUCCCUAUACCAUGGCAUGAAGACAACAGUGGGCGGCGUCAACAAGGCAGAGAAAGGUAACGAUUCUCAGAACGAUCUUAUUACCUUUUACUCAAGCUGUUUUAUAUGGCUGGAAUUGUGACCUGAUAUUUGCUGAAGAUAGCAAAUGGGAACUUACCAUUGAGGAACCAUGGCUAAAACACUGCUCCGUUGUUGUGCAGGCAUCAGUUACCUGGAGUAAUUUCUGGUCCUCAAUUGGGAGAAGCAGCUCAUCGUCUUGUUAGAAACACUCUCAACAUCAGACCAAACAAUGGAUUGCUUGGACAGCCUCUAGUUCCAAACGGUGCUGGCAAUCAAAUGGCCAGUAGGAGCAGUAGGCCUUCACCUUAUGGUUAUGGAAGAGGCUAUGGUUAUGAUCCAAACAAUCGUGGUGGUUACUACAACAACAACCAUCAGGAACCAAUGAGUGGACCUAAAUCUCCUAUCCCAUCGAAUAGUGUGCGAGGAUCUGGACACAACUUUAGGCCCCAGGAGAGGUUUCGGAAUGUGGAGAAGUUCCGGGACUUGAGGACCGGCGUGUCUUCUUUCGCACUGGAGUCUUCUUUGGCACUGGAUGAAAACGUUGGAGUCGAGCCACUUGCAAUUCUACAGCGGGAGCCAAGUUCAAGAUAUCCUCAAAACUUCAAUCAUCAGUUUGAGCAAAGCACGAGUCCCCUUCCCUCACCUCCCUCCAAAUGGUCCAAUAAUAUGCCAGAUGAAGCAUCUGGGAGAUAUUUUAGACGAGGAGAUACAGCCACAAGAAGCGCAAAGGAGAAGCAGCAAGUGAGACAUGUCUAUCAGAUUAAGAUGCGAGCAACUCCAGAAGCUUCAAAGACAGUAGCAGAUCCGAACCACCAGUAGUAUUCCAGACUUGCCUUUUAACUGCCAACUUGCUCUCUUCCAAGGUGGUUUAACAACACUCGAGCAGCUGAGCUAGCUACUCCAUGUUUGACAGAAUUCCUAAUUAUGAAGAGGGCAUCCAUAACCUUCAGUCACCUGCAUCAGUAUCUUAUUUACAUAUUGGAGUUAUUAGGGGUACAAAUAGGAAGUUGUCAUGCUGUGUUUAGACUUUAGAUGGUCGUAGGUAGAAAAUGUCGGUUCUCUGUUGUAGGAGUUCUAUACAGGAAAAGAGUCGGCUAGUUUGUAAGGUUUCAAGUUAGCUGUAUUUAUUGUGUCCGUGUAAUUGGUGUUUAUGGCUAUAUAGAAUCAUAGUUACACUUUCCCCCUCCUACGUUAUGCAAAGGCGCAAUAUUGUGUAAUUAGGUAUCAUCUUUUGGAGGGCAUUUUUUUCUGUUCUGCAGGAGGGAAGCCAACGCUCUUGAUAAACUGACCUGAGAUCUGGCAAUCCACCAAGUUGCUUACUCGGAUAGGUAAUCGUACUAACUAGAAACCUUGUUAUUCUUGAUCUCCGAUGUGAUUAAAUGAAAUUUACAGAUCGAUAGGUAAACAACACUUGUUAGAGUUGAGGUUUAUCUGGUUAACCCAGGGUAUAAGAAGUCGUUUGUGACAACUAGGAGUGUGUUAGCUAGAAAUAAAUGGAUUAGAGAUAGUUAGGAGAGAAUAUUGUGGUAGAAGCAAAGGCAGACAGGAAUGAAAUCCUGAUGAAUCUCUGAAACAACAAACUGUGUAGUCUAUACAAUGCUCAUACACACAUAAUUGAGGAAAUUAGUGAUAGAUAAAGGCAGGAGGUAUAGAACCAUAAGAGAAAGAGGAAGAAACAGUUGAGAACCAACAAGGGAGAGGCUAGAGACAGAACGAGUAAAUCAGUGAAUCAUUCAU